GACGAAGCUUCAAGAUGAUCAAACGGAGAGCCUACCGGGAUUCUUCCACAGAGAUGGUUGUGACUCAGAUCCAAGUGUCCGAUAUACGACGCUUCUGAUAAAGAUUUCGGUAUCGGCCCCCGGAAAUUGUUAUGCGAUAAAUCAAGUACAUUUGAUUAAAUAUUCAGACGACCGGUCUGAGUAUGCACGAUAAAUCAAGUACUGUAAAAUAAGAUCUCACACUGAAAACAUCGGGCAAAUAUCCUUGAAAUGCGUUCUUGCUCAAAUUCAAGUUACUAAUCCCUGAAUUGAAUAAACUUGGCGGUAUUUUCCCUGAAAGCUUGUUAGAAUCUAAAUUUAGUGUAGCUAGAACCGCCAUUCUACCCAGAGAAUCAGGUAUUGCACCCGAGAGUCUAUUUACCGAAAGAUCCAAAUCGGCCAGACGGUAAAUUUUCGAAACUGAAAUCGGAAUUCUUCCGCUAAUGAAAUUCUGACUGAGCAAAGCGCGGCUUAACAUUCGGAGACGCCCAAAAUCUUGGGGAAGUGGUCCUGAGAUUCUGUUAUUACGCAAAUCCAGGUGCAUCAGGCUCGACAGAUUCGUCAAAGAACGGGGGAUCUCACCGGAAAUAAGAUUAUCGGCAACGUUCAGCACGGUUAAUCUGUGUAACCGUCCUAUAUCUGCAGGUAGGUCGCCGGAGAUCCGGUUCCCGAUCAAAUCAACAAUCCUUAGAAACGGAAGCGAAGUGAUGCACCGCGGAAUCUCUCCGGAGAUCCCUUUCCAAUCAGCGAUUGUGAGACUCGAGAGUCGCUCUAGCUUACAGAUGGAAGGCGAGAUUGUACCUGUCAUGUAACCGGACCGGCCAGCUUUUUCAAAAAUGGGGUCUUCGGAUUCACCUCUGAGAUUUAUAUCGGCGACCCUGUGGGUCUCCGGGUCGCAACUAACGCCGUACCAUUUAUGACAGCAGUCAAUUCCGGUCCAAGAAUUGAAGAUUCCAAGGUAAGGUUCAUGGAGAGCGGCUCUAAAAGCAAGCAAGGCGGCCCGGUCUGACGGCGGGCAGCUUUUAACUGUUGAAGAAGAGAUUAAUAUCGUUAUCAAUGUAAUGUAUAAGAAAGCGGCCAUGGCUUCUCUGUUACUAACUCUCUGUAUCUCUUUAUUAGUGUAUAGGUUUCUCCCUGUAUAAUUGAAGUGAGUAAUAUAAUACUAUUGACAGUGAAUCUCUGAGUUUCUUUCUGGUUUAAGUUGAGAAAUGAAACGAAGUAUGGCAGGCAGGACCUGACAACGUCGUCGUGGUAUUUAUAUGCAGUGAGAUUGUUUGUCAUGACGGUUUUGCCCCUUAAGUGGAUUAUUACGAGGUAGCGGCUCUCGUUGUUAGUUAAAAAAAAAAAAAAAAACAAUGAAUUAUCAGUAAGAAAAUCAUGUUCUCUUUAUUAGUUAAAAGUUACCUAAUUACCAUAUGCUAGGAAUUUUAUGAAAUGGAUGAAGAAUACACUAAACCUUGCGGUAAUUGACGUUGAAGAAAUUUAUACAAGCUGUCGCGAAUGUGGAUUAAAGAGCCAUUAUGGAUAUAGAUUUUGUAAUUGACCACGUACCAAACAAAAGAAUUUCUGAACAUCAAAAUGAUAGUCUCUGAACGUGAAAUCUAAUUGUAGAAUUGAUAGUUUAACAACUUGCUCAAAGAUUAAUGGUGAGUCUCCACUGCUUUUAAAUUUGGGUUGCCUAAAAAACACAUACACGGUGGAAAUUGGAAGGGGGAGCUGAAUCUAAUAAUUGAGUAUGAACAUAUAUAUAUCAACAAAAGAGGAAGAGAUAAGCUCGAUCUGAAGUUGAAAGGUGAGAGCAUGGGUGAUUUUGCGCACUGUACGUGGCUUUUUCAGGACCAUGUUUUGUUCUUUUAUGAAUCUAGAGAGAAAUAGAAUGUAGGGUUUAUUUCCAUUUCCAUUAAUAUGGUAAAAGAAUGUUCUUAACAUGGAGGGUAACUCUACUUCGCAUUGGAAACCCUAAUCUAAGAUAGAUUGGAUGUAUUGAUGACGACUAAUUAAUGAUCAUUAACAGUUUUUUUAAGUUGUAAGAACUCAAAUAAUUAGAGAAGUUAGGACAAAUUAAAGCAUUUUAAUCUGGAUUCAGAAAAUGUCAUUGUAGAAGAAUGAUUGCCCCACUAGAAACUGAAUCUUUGUCCCCGAAAGUGGAGUCAUCAAUCUGGUCCAUGAGGAAAUAGUCUAUUUUAAUUAAUGCAAUGCAAAUAAUUUUUUACCCAUUAGUCCAAAAGAUUGCCAAAACAAAGUACUCUCUGCAUUAUUCAUAUCCAUAUGCUCUAUUUAUACACUGCUGGAAAUGGUCCACCAGAAGAUGAAGAUCACGAUUCAUGUAUUUGUGAGUCUUUAGGGUUUUGAAAGUAAAUUAGCAGACGACAAGCAGUCAUUAGUGUCCAUGUCAUCAAGAUUUCAAGUAUAUAUAUGCAUAUCAAGAUUAAAAGUUAAAGCUUUAUUUUGAUAUCCAUAAGUUUCUGCCUGAUUGGCUGAUAAUUUGAAGGUUUAAAAUAGUAAUAAUUAUAGUAAGAAGUAAGAACAAAACCGAUGGCAUGUGGUAAAUAAAGAAGCCGACAAGUGAAGUGAUCUGUUUUGCUUAGGUUUCUGAAAUAAUGGAAGACAAGAUUUACAAAAACCUUAUCCACAAGAUCAUCCCAGGCUAGUACUGUAACAAUUAAACAAUGUCAAUAAUAAAAUGAGUUGCUUCUGUCCUACUUCCUACAUAACAUCUUAUAUCUACUCUCUUUCAAAAGAUAAAUUAAUUAAUUAAUCUUAUAUCUACUAUUGUAAAUCAAUAAUGGAUCCAAUGAUGCCUGAAAAUUUCAUCAUCAUUAAAAAAUCAAAUAUCAGAUUUAUAAUAUUCGAUAUAUAUAUAUAUAUCAACUGUCUAAUCCAAGGCAGUUUAGUCUAUAAUGGUUAAAUACAUUAGACUCUAUACUGGUGAUAACAAGAUUAAGUAAUGGAGUUAGUAUCUUGAGAAAAAUUUUAAACAUAAUUACUUUUGAUAUGGAAGAAAUUAAUCUCUCAUCUAACCACAAAAUAAGGAGUGGAAAUACCCUUAUUAAUUAUUAAGUCUAUUGUAGGUCUGGUUAAUUAGUCUUCCUGAAGAAAAGAAAGUCAUACUCAUUUUAUUUUAUUCUAAAAUAGAAUCUUUAGGCAUUCAACAAUUUCAAACUUCAGAGAUUUUAGAAAUUGAUUGAAUUCUCACACUACAAUUGUCUCAUUCGACUUUUCUAGUUUACAAGAUUGGAACAAAAACAUGCAUGCACGUGGCACAUGUGCAAGAGGGUCCAUCAAAGGAAAAAAAAAAAUCGAAUUAUUAGUGAUGCUAAACAGACAUUUGAUAAGACAAGGAGGAAGCCAGUAAGGUGAGAUUUGAACUUUCCAAUGCUCAAUCUUUAAUUUUCAAGUUCCACCAUCGCUCUAAGAGGAACGGGAGCUGGCCUAUCAGGAUUUUAUAGUGAAAGAGGCUCCGAUGUAUAAUCUCAUGAAUCACUCAGAUUCUUUCGAUCGAUGUUCUUUGUCAUCAAAUUACCUCUUCGAAUUUAGUAAUUAAUUAAUUAAUUAAUUACAAAACCGGACAUUGAUUUAUGCUAUUCAUGAAAGCUCUAGAGACAUGGUAGUUGAUUUUACUAUUUUCACCAUAUAUGACAAGAAGAAUUAUGGCAAUCACAUCAUCGCCUACUGGAGACAGCUCACGGAUCCUGAAAAUACCACCACCAUUACUAGAAUUCUGCACCCACCAACUGCUUUAAUGCUAUUCCUGGAAUAUUAGAUCCAACAUUUAGGUUUGGCGGAAAUUGGAGAUUUGAGAUUGAGUCUUUGUCCAUUGUCCAAAUCAUAUGUACAGCUACCGCCAUGCAAUUAAGCCUUCAGAUCAGUGCAUAUAAUACCAAUGGCCACUGAUUAUAGUUUAUAUGGCUGUUUAAAUAUUACAUGAUUUUAUAUGAGCCAUUAAAAUCCUGGUUGUCUAAAAGCAGGUGGUAUCCAGGGGAGUCAACAACAGGAAUUCUGGGCUGACCAAGAAUUUUUGAGCCAGAUACCGGGGAUUAUGCACAUGUGCAUUUGCUUCAAACAUGGCAUUCAACUAGGAGAGACCUAUUGCUUUUUGCUAUGAUUGAGGAUUUUGUGGAGGAAAUUAUUGAAAACCUACCUUUUUUUAAUACAAUAUUUAAAACACCUUCAAAUGUGAUAUGCCAUAUAGAAGGGAUUUACUUAUUUAGAUCAGGUCUGUAGCUCCACCCAUCAACUAAAUCAAUGAAAAUAAAAUUUUUAUAAACAAUAAUAUUUCUAAUCAUACACUUACGGAAAUAAAUAAUAAAAUUUUUAAAAAAUAUAUUUUUAUUAAUUUAAUUCAUACGAGACCGGAAAUUCAGUUGAAGCAAGUAUUUUCUUACGACAGAUGUAUUAGCUGGUCUUCGGCCAAUGUUUGUUGCAUUAUAAAACUCGAGUCAUCGGGUUGAGCCUUUUCUACUCGAAGGUCAACUUGCGAAGUCGAAGACCGUGUCCUGUUCUUUAAUAAGAAAACACUAGAACAUAGCCCAUCUUUGUCACUUUUCGAGCCCAAACCCAUUAUUAUUAUAAAUAGGCCCUGUGCUGGAGAUUUUCUUUGUUGUUAUGCCAUUUGCGUUCCCUUUUGUGGAGGCCCAUGGGCUCAAAUGCUUUCUUUUGGAUUAAAUUUGAAAUUUCCCAAUUUACAUGUUUUAAUCCUAAUUUUAUCGAUAAAGGAGCACAGGAUUUCCUAAUUCAAAAUAAAUUUAGUUCCAUACACAAGCUAAACAAAGAAAGUUUUUUUUUUUAAAAAAAAAUAUUACUAUUUUGUCUUUUUUUCUAGUAUAUAAUUAAAAAUACUCUCCUUUAAACCAACACAUUAUUUAUCUUUUCUUUUUUUCUUUCUUGGGUCUAACUUGGCUUCAGGGAUAUAUGCAAAAGUCUUGAUUGAUAAGUUAAUAAUCAUUUCAUUACCUUAACAAAAUCAUAAAUGAUAAGUUUGUAUGUCAAAGUCGUUUAAUUUCUUGGUCUAUAAUGUGAGUCACUGGGGCCUCAGAACGUGACUUUGGCGGUGAGCAUCAACAUUAAAUGACAAAAUUAGCCGCCAAAAGAAUGUUUAAUUAACUAAAAGAGGAGGAAAAGAAGGUGCAAGUCAUGAAUUCGCAAAAUGAAAGCUAUGUGAAAGUUUCUGAUUUAAAAGAUUUGACAACUGAAGAGGUAAUUGUUCUGAACUUGUUUGGUUUUGCAUUUUUGGAGAGAAUCUGUCCUUGUACAAUACAGGCCCCCAGUUUUAGAACAACUACCCAAAUUUGAUAUAUACAAUAUGUGCCUUCCACGUCAUCCACCCAGUGGAGUAUUUGUUGGACUCUCUCUCCUCACAGUUCCGAGCCUUUGAUGGAUCCUACUCUAUCCUAUCCGUCUCGUGUUAACACGCAAAACACUUAUCUACACUCGACGUAUAUUUACUUAUUCUUUAUUUUUAAUUAAGUUUGAACAAGUAUUCAAUAGAACCAAUGUGAUCGUCAUCUCUAAAGAUUAUUUUUAAUUUUCAAGCAAUUUGAUUGAUAAAAAUAAAAAUACAUAUGUUUAUGUGAAUAAAGUUAUACAUUCAAAUUUUCAAACAUUGGAUUUUUUUAAUAAAAAUUUAAUGAUCAAAAUAAUACUGUAGACACGAUUGAAAUUUAUGAGAAAAUCAAUCAGACUGUACUUUCUAAUCUCUCAUCAUGUUCACGUAAAAUUCAACUAUUACAUAAUUCUAAAUGAAAAUGGAUUUUAACUUCGUUUUGUAAUAAUUAAAAAUGCAAUUAUGUACGAGGGAGUGGAAGAAGAUGAAUGAGACACCUACAAAUAAAGAGAAGUCAUCGAAAUGAUUUCAGAUGUUCUCUGUUUGUUAUUAGAAAAGUAAAAAAUAUUCUAAUAUAUUUAUUAAUAUUCCCAUUUAAGUAAAAAAAAAAAAAAAAAAAACAAAUCUUUUCCUUAAUAAUUUAUGUAAUGGAUCCCCGAUCCCGAUAAUGAUGGAGAGGAGCCAAUGAUAAAGCCACAGAACGACUAAGAAAACGACAUCGUUCACAUCAAUGCGCACUUACUGCCGCUUUUGAUGGGCCCCAGUUUUUGUCACAUGUAGUGGAGUGGCACAACAUAAUUAACAGAUGAGUAGAAAACCCUUUAAAUGAAACGGGUCCAACUUACCUUUAAAUAAUUUAAAAUUUGAACGUACAAACUUUACUUUACUCUAAAUAAAUAAAUCAUUUAAUAAAUAAAUAAAUAAUUGCAUCACGGUCCUUAUAAUUAAUCUGCUUAAGUUGCAAUCACGUUUACUGGUUUUAAUAGGGCAAAAACUAAAUAAAAUAAUCACCAAUUCAUUACCACUUUUUUAAGUAGUUGAAUCGGUGACCCUACACGUGUACUUUGAAACCCAUUUUAAGAAAAAAAAAUGAAAAUCACCGCUAUCGAAAUACAUAAUAUUAAUUAUUAUAUAAAACUAUUCAAAUUCCUAGCUUUCUAAAUUUAUCCAAAUAUAAUAAUAAUAAAAAAAAUCUCAUUUUCAGAAAAAAUUAAUAAUGAAAUCAAACUUCACAUGCAGAAUAUAUUUAUUUAUUUAUACUUACGAGAAAAAGUAAUUUUUUAUUAGGUACACAGUGAAAAAUGCACAAGCCUCUGUCAAAGCAGAUUAAUAGAUCUUAUUUGUUUAAAAAAUAACUAAAAAUAAUAAUAAAUAUAAAAUAAAUCUAUGGAGGCAUUGUUUUUGUAAGAGAAAUUAUUACAUGAAAAAGGUAUUAUAAACUUUUUACUAAAAUAAUUUAUUUAUUUUUAAUAAAUAAGGUUGUACUCAAAUGAUGGACACUUACCCUACAAUAAUUAGAAGAAAGUGAGUGUUGUUUUGAUAAAAUGGAAACAAACACCCUUAAUUACUUAUUUUUAAAUAUGUAAUUAAAUAUUCAUAAGCAAAUUUUUUUUUUUUGCUUCUAGAACAAUGAAAAAUAAAUGGAAAAGUGAAGGAGUCAAAAGUCUUUUCCGUAAUGUCGUUUAAAAAGAAAUUUUCAAAGCGCAAAUAAAGAAAAGGGCAAACCGGAAAAAGAUAUAUAUAUAUAUAUAUUUUUUUUAAAAAAAAAAAGGAAAAGGAUCCAGAAGAAGGGACAUGUUGAAUUAUGCGACAAUUUUCAAAUGUCCAUUAUGACACUUUUGCCACAGUGUCCUGACGCAGCCACUAUAAACUUUUCUAGUUUAAAUUAUGUUAUGCUAAAAGGCUUAACUUAAAUUAUGAUUUGGGUAGAAAUGUAAUAUUAUCAAAUCUUAAUAAAGUUUUAUAUUCUUUUUUUUCUAAAAAAAGGAACAAAAAAGAAAAAAAUUCAUGUGACCUUUAUAUCGUAGUUGAUUUUAACCACAUAUAUCUCGCAUAUAUGUGCACGCGUGCGAUCUAAAAUUCUAAGAAAUCAUAUAGAGAUAUAUUCAUAUUUAAAUCUAUUAUAUUGUACUUCACGUUACUAUUUUUAUUACUUAAUAUUGUUAGAAUUAUUAUUUUUUUCUUUCAUAUCAAUUAAAUUUCUAUUGCUUUCAAUGCACCCAAGUAUAUAAGAAAAUUCAUGAUCUUAUUUAAUCCAUUCAUUGCAUUAAAUUUGAUAGUGCUUCACUUUACGCAGCAAUUAAAAAAAAUAAUCAAUUUGAUUUUAAAUUAAUUGAUUAAAUUUUAGAGAAUGAAUAGAGAUAAUCGAUUUAAAUUAUAUUUCAAUUAUUAUUAAUUUAAUUAAAAAAUUUUACGAUUAUUUUUCAAUACAUAAAUACCUUUUUUGAGAUUACUUUUAUCUUUUAAUACAAAAUUUACGGUUACUUUUAAAAAAAUUAAUUGAUCUUUUAUCUUAUUUUUUCUUGUCAAUCCGAACUAUAAUUUGAGCGUAUAUAAUAAGUCUAUUAAAUCUAUUGACUUGAGUGUAAUCGCUCGAGCGUGAUAAGUUUCCCUUUUAGCAUUUUUAAUAAAUUUAAUAAUCUGAUUGCCCAUAAAAGAAAAUUUCUCUUAUCCCUUGUCAAUUGUUUACAUAAACAUUGCACCCCAAAAACAUUUUUUUUUUAAAAAAAAAAACAAGGGAUAAAAUUCCUCUGUUUCUGCAAUUGUACCUAACAAAUAUAAGCAACAUAAAAGGGCAGUGAGGGUGGGUUCCCAAGAAAAAGAAAUCACACCAUCUAUUAAUCAAGGGCACAAAAAGUAAAAAUUGUCUGUUUGUGGGUCAAGUAGACCCCAGGGGGACAGUGUGGUCAUUUUAAAACAAGGGGGUGCCCCAUUUAUCAAAAUCCUUCCAAAAUUAAGAUUAGUUUUUGUUUUCCUUCCUGAUGUAAUAAUAAGUGAAAACGACAAGCCAGACAUAUGUUACCUCACAUGCAUUUUAUAAUACAGCCCUUUUUUAAUACAAAUCUGUGCCACUCUUGGAAUAAACUAACGGUAUCAAGGGCAUUAAGGUCAACGAAUUUGGUGGAUAGAUAUAUCAAUUUUGCAGUGCAGCUCCAAUUUCUGGCCUCUGUUGCUUUUCGUUGCCCGAAAUGUAGAAGAGGUUUUUAUAUAUUUAAUUUAUUUUCUUUUUUCCCCCCAUUUUUUAGGAAUUUCCAUUUCUUUUCUUGCUUUACUCACUGGCAUCAUCAACACCAUCCUUUGAAGCAUCUUUCAGAGGUGAAGCUUUAGAGAGAUUGGUUUUGUCCCUUUUAUGUGCUUGUUCUGAUCUUGUUCUUUUACCAGUGGUUUCUUUAUUUUUUUCAUAUUAUCUUCUUGUGUUCAGUGGUUUCAAAUUCAAGAAUAGCUAAGUGGGUUCUACCAGAGUUGAUAGUUUUUAUUCUUUUAUAUAACAAGAUUGUGGUCUAUGGUCUCUGUUUUGUUCUUUUUCAUCUGUUUCACUUGAAUUGAAUCAAAUCGAUGACACCGCUUCACUAUUGGUGCUUUUUUAUAGAUUUCUUUAGAUUUGUUCCUGAUCUGAUCGAAAGAAAAGCUCAAUUUACUUUUUCAUUUUCGAAGUCUUAAUCAAGAAAGAAAUAGAGAAGAAAAUGGAAUCCGAGUUUCAACACCACCAUCCUUUCAUUCAAGAUUAUCAUCAACAACAGCAACAUCACCAGAAGCAAAUGAAUUCUGGGUUGACGAGAUACCAAUCUGCGCCAAGCUCUUAUUUCUCCGGUUUCUUAGACAGGGACUUCUGCGACGAAUUCCUCAAUAGGCCAUCAAGCCCUGAAACAGAACGAAUUUUCGCCAGACUUUUGGCCAGUACUGGUGGCAACACUGAAAACGUACCAAGUCAAAAUUUUUCAGCACUUAAGCCAGAUUCUCCAGUUAAAGAAGAAGUGCCACAAGUUAACCAGCAACCGCAGAUUAAUGAUACAAGGUUACAGCGACAGAGCAGCAAUUACUCUGCUUCGCAGAGUUUUUACCAGAGCCAAUCAAAACCACCAUUACCAGAUCACAAUUCUGGUUCUGCUAUGGAUUAUAGGAUGGUGACACCAAUGGGAAUGGAGCGGUUGCCACAGAUGAAGAGUUCUAGUAGUGGCAAUAAUUCGAAUCUUGUUCGACACAGUAGCUCGCCUGCAGGGCUUUUCUCCGACAUAAAUAUUGAAAUGGAAAAUGGUACGUUCUUUUUCUUUGGAAAUUAGUUCAAGUUUUCUUAUGGGUUGAGUUGUUUUUUUUGUUCUUAGGAAAGACUGAGACAGCUGAGAUUUUCUUUCAGUAUGAUUUUCCAAUAACUAAUACGACAUUUAUCCAACCAAGGAAUAGUUUCAUUUGAAAAGUGAAAGAGAAAGGAAGAAAACAAGAGGAAAACAAAGAAAAAAUGAGCCAAGACAGAUUUUUGUUUCCUUAACAACUCGUGCUACAAAUUGAUAGUUAAUAUAUUUUAGUUAAUUCUUUGUGCUUUUCUGAUUACUAAUCAUUCGAAUUAGCAAGUUGAGCUUAAAAAAUUAUUUUAGUACAAAAAUGGACCAAAAUAGUUUGAUUAUAUUGCUGUAUGUUCGAAUAAUAUAUAACUAAGUAUUAGCAAUUGGCAGGAUAUGCUGUACUGAGAGGCAUGGCAGAUUAUGGAACAGCUAAUAGAGAAACAUCUUAUUCUGCAGCAAGUAGGCCUCCAGCUGCUCCUCCUUCAGGGCGAAUGAGUCUAAUUGCUGAAAUUGGGAACAAAGAAAAUAGCUCUGACAAUUAUGCCGCAGCAAGCUUCUCUAUUGCAUCCUGGGAUGAUGCGUCUGUUAUGUCUUCUGGUGCAAAAAGACUAACAGAUGAUGAUAGGACACCCUCUGGCCUAAACACAUCUGAAACUCAGGUACUCAGAAUCAAUAAUGUUAUUUCAUUUUAUUCUAAAGACUAGUAAGAUUUUGUUAUUGAAUAGAAUGCAGAAGCAGUAACUCGCCCGCCAUUGUUGGCACAUCACUUGAGUUUGCCAAAAACCUCAGCUGAAUUUUCUGCUAUAGAAAAGUAUCUGCAGUUGCAAGAUUCAGUGCCUUGCAAGAUUCGAGCAAAGCGAGGAUGUGCUACUCAUCCAAGGAGCAUUGCUGAAAGGGUAAAUUAAAGUUGUUUUCUUUUUGUUCUUUUCAUUUUACUGCAUUGAUCAUUUCUUGAUGCAGUAAUGAAUUAUUUAUCUUCAAGAUUUGCAAUCUUUAGGUGAGAAGAACUCGAAUUAGCGAAAGAAUGAGGAAACUUCAGGAUCUUGUACCUAACAUGGAUAAGGUAGAAUUUUCUCUAGUUCUAGGUACAUCUGAUAGGUUAUGUGUAGACGAAAUAUCCUUACUUUGUUUACCUAUUUUCAGCAAACAAACACAGCGGACAUGCUAGAUUUGGCUGUCGACUACAUUAAAGACCUCCAAAGACAAGUGAAGGUGAUAUAUAUGUGCUAUAAGUAAUUAAUAUUGGAUCAAAACUAACUCAUCAAAGACUCUAAAAACAAGUCUUCUUGCGUUUUUUUGGGUUGUUUCAGACACUAUCAGAGAACCGGGACAAGUGUACCUGCACAAGCAAGCAUCAACAGUAGCCAAAAAAUGGCAGAGUAUAACGAUAUAACUCGGUCAUCAUAUGUAUAGAACUGAUUAAUAUUAAUUAAUAAGGAAUUGCAGAGGAGGUGUAAUCAUAAAGAGGGAACUAGGGUUAUGGUUUCUUUUGCACUGAAAGAGAAGAAGAUAGUAAUGUGGGUAGCUACUAAAAGCUAACUUUAAGAUCUAAAUUCAAACUUAUUUAGAAAAUAGAAAUGAAAUAGCUGUACAGUACUUUGUUUGAGUGUAUGUUGUAACAUGUGUUUCUACUUCUGGAAGCUUAGCCAAAUUAAGAUAAGUUUAUGUGUUUAAGAAAACAGAGAAUAAUUGCAUGUUUUUACGCGUUUCUUUCCUUCUUUUUGCUCUCACUUUAUCUGAGUUAUGCACUUUAAACUUAGUGUUUCUUUCCAUCUUCAAGUAAAGAAAGCAGAAAGGUACUUUCAAUGGCUGUCCCUUUUGAUUUGGCAAUACCAAUACGUGGAUGAAUGUGGGACAUACUUUCCUUCUUCGACAUUAGUUGAUGGAGGACUUUUGGUGAAGCCUUGCAGAUUAACUCUCAUUUAAUAUUAUCGAAGGGUUUUUAUGAUUUUACGUGAUCAAAUGAGCUCCACAUAAUUUCUUUUUUUUGGUUUUCCUUUGUCUUCGAUCCUGGGUCAUUGUCACAGAAUUAAUGGAAAGGAGGUGACUUCUUCCCCAUUUUUUAUUUCCCUUAAAAAGAAAUGGUUGGUUUUACUGAUUUCAAUGCUUGGAAUGGCAAUGGAUGGAUAGGGAGCUAGUUCUCUCUCUUCAUCAUAGUCUCCAUGAAACAUUUUCAUUUCUGUCUCCGUCCUUUUAACAGUGAUUACUUAAACAAAUAAACAACGACUGCGAAUCUUUACUUCCACUAUAUGAAUUCAUUAUUUUUAAAUAUCCAUCCGAUCAGUUAUAAAUAAAUCUCUUGAAAAUUUAAAACCAGAUUAAUUUUAUAUGAUUAGUUAUAGACUUUCACACUAGGUGAUCAGAAUCAUCUUGUUUCUUAAUUAAAAAAAAUUAUAUAUUAACAAAAUAUUAAUUAGAGUGAUAAAUGAUUUUAAUUCUAUAAAAGUGAAAACAUAAAUUUAAUUUCGCAAAAUAUAUUUUUCUGACAUCCGAGGAUUACAGCUCGUUCUUAUAUACAUAUAUUCAUUCCCUUGUGAAUGUCAAUUUUUAUGGAGUGCCCAAAAAGGAGUUAUUCUAGGUGAGAUUUUUGUUAUUCCAAUAUCCAAGCACUAAUUCCUAAAGCUUGAAAAGGCAAGGAUCAAAAAAAAAUAGGUACAGUGUUAGUUUAGUAAUUUAGCGACAUGGACUUUAUACGAUGAACAGGCAGGGUCAAGGUUAGUUGAUAGGUGCUGGGUGGUGAGUGGUGCAGUGGUUACAGCUGGAUGCGAUGGACGAGUCACUAUCCGAGUCGGGGCCCAAGUCCACGAAGAAAGUGAGUGACAUGUCAUUGCUGACCUCACCAUCCCUUAAUGCCCUGCCCUUUAUUGCACUCAGAAGGAAAUUUUUAAUUUUCCUUUCUUUUCUUUACUUGAUUAAUAUCGUUAACGUGAGGUGAGGGCAACGUCUCUCAGCUCAAGCUUUGUCCAUAAACAAGUAAUCCGACAGAUGACUUGGGAUGAUAUUGAUUUAUUUUUUCUUAAUUAGUCUCGAAUUUGAACUUUUAAAUACGAAGUUCUUUUAAAUAUUUAAUAGAAAAAUGAUUUUUGUCCUCUAUAAAUUUAUUCAGUGUAAAUCGAGAUGAAUAAGGUGAGGUCAACGAGUGUUUAAUGUUAAAUGAUUUAACAUUAAAAAAAAAAAGAUUAACUUAUUUAAACCGGAUUUAUAACUCUAUUUGUGGACGAAACCAAUAAAAAUAUAAAAUUUUGUUAAAAUGAAUAUUUUUUUAAUACACCAAAAAAAAUGAUAAAAUAAAAAUAAACAAGUAUUUUCCAUAAAAGAGGAAAGAGGAAAAAUGAUUGCAUUGAUAAAGAUAAAGCAGUUUGCUGUUGAAACGUUCCCCCAACUGUUAUUGAAUUUCUUUGCGAGCCCAAUUAAGGAUUGUGAAACCCAAGUUUUAUUUUGAACGAGUCUUCUUCAGUGUUAAGCCCAAUUCACCCAAACAUAGACCUUAAUUGGGCCAAUGUAAAAUCAUCGGAUAUCUAUUUGUAAGAGCCAUAAUGAACUUUUCUUUUUUUUUUUUUUUUUUUUUUUUUUUUUUUUUUUUUUUUUUUUUUUUUUUUGUGGUUUUUUUUAAAAAAAAAUNNNNNNNNNNNNNNNNNNNNNNNNNNNNNNNNNNNNNNNNNNNNNNNNNNNNNNNNNNNNNNNNNNNNNNNNNNNNNNNNNNNNNNNNNNNNNNNNNNNNNNNNNNNNNNNNNNNNNNNNNNNNNNNNNNNNNNNNNNNNNNNNNNNNNNNNNNNNNNNNNNNNNNNNNNNNNNNNNNNNNNNNNNNNNNNNNNNNNNNNNNNNNNNNNNNNNNNNNNNNNNNNNNNNNNNNNNNNNNNNNNNNNNNNNNNNNNNNNNNNNNNNNNNNNNNNNNNNNNNNNNNNNNNNNNNNNNNNNNNNNNNNNNNNNNNNNNNNNNNNNNNNNNNNNNNNNNNNNNNNNNNNNNNNNNNNNNNNNNNNNNNNNNNNNNNNNNNNNNNNNNNNNNNNNNNNNNNNNNNNNNNNNNNNNNNNNNNNNNNNNNNNNNNNNNNNNNNNNNNNNNNNNNNNNNNNNNNNNNNNNNNNNNNNNNNNNNNNNNNNNNNNNNNNNNNNNNNNNNNNNNNNNNNNNNNNNNNNNNNNNNNNNNNNNNNNNNNNNNNNNNNNNNNNNNNNNNNNNNNNNNNNNNNNNNNNNNNNNNNNNNNNNNNNNNNNNNNNNNNNNNNNNNNNNNNNNNNNNNNNNNNNNNNNNNNNNNNNNNNNNNNNNNNNNNNNNNNNNNNNNNNNNNNNNNNNNNNNNNNNNNNNNNNNNNNNNNNNNNNNNNNNNNNNNNNNNNNNNNNNNNNNNNNNNNNNNNNNNNNNNNNNNNNNNNNNNNNNNNNNNNNNNNNNNNNNNNNNNNNNNNNNNNNNNNNNNNNNNNNNNNNNNNNNNNNNNNNNNNNNNNNNNNNNNNNNNNNNNNNNNNNNNNNNNNNNNNNNNNNNNNNNNNNNUUUUUUUUUUUUUUUUUUUUUUUUUUUUUUUUUUUUUUUUUUUUUUUUUUUUUUUUUUGAGGAUGUUCUACUAAAAAUAAUUUAUAAAGCUGUUGUUUCCCUAAAAAGUUUAUUUAAGAUUAAAACUUUACUAUAUUUUCCUUGAAAUAAAAAAUAUUUCCAGAACAUUUCAAAAAUAAUAAUGUCCACAAUUUUUGAUAAAGACCAUUUUCACCUUAUGCUAUGCUAUAAAUCGGAUAAAAAUCAUUAUGAUUUCUCGUAUAUUGAAAUAACAAAUAUUUAUAAAAUGGAGGGAGUUUUAAUGAUCAAAAUGUUAUAUAUAACUACCCACUCACAGUAAUAGUAAUUAAUAUUAAUAAUAUGCUUGUUUAGUUUAUUUUUUCACUUAUUUCAAAUUAUAAUUUUAUUUUUUUUAAAAAGCUAAUUUUUACAGCUUUUUAUUUUAUCCCCGAUCUGACGUGGUUUUUUAAAUAAAUAUACUUCAAUAAUUAUAUUGUCAUUACCAUAAAUCAAAGGUUAAAAUAAAUAAAUAAUAUAUCAGUCUUUAUAGAUUAUGAAAAAAAAAAAUGCAAGGAUAUUAAAAAAAAAUAGAAAGAAAAUUAUGAUUGUAUUGACUACAUUUCCUAAAAAUGUAAGAAUAUAAUAGAAAAAAUCGAAGAAAAAUGAUUUAUCAAUACCUGCUUUUCUAUUUCAAAAAAAUAUAAUAAACAAGGGUUUUUUUUUUUUUCCAAAAAUGUAUAAUAAAUAGGAAUAAAAUUACAAUUUUAAUUAUUUUCCUAUAAUUUCCCUUCCAUGCUCUCCGCCCAAUUCAAACACAGUAUCAAGACAUUCAAAUUCAAACAUAAGAUCCUCUGAAAAAAACGAGAGUAAAACAUCUAGUAAAGGACAAAAAAGGAGCCAAAAUGGGAAAAACAUCAAACUGUGAGUAACGUCCAUGUAUUUAGGUUUCCCUCUCAGUUCAGAAAUUUGAAUUUGCAUAAAACCAAUCAAUUACUACUGUUCAAAACAUGAAAUUUAUUUUUCGUCCCAAUUUCCAAUGGAUGAGUUAGCGUUCCAAAGAAAGAAAGAAAAUUGAAUACAGGAAUCCCAGCAAUCACGCUUUCAUCCUCCUCUCUUCUCUCCAUGGAAGAAGCGGAGGAUCAGCUCUGCUUUGCCUCCUGCUCGGCUGACUUCGCUCCCCCUCCCUCUGUAGUUUCUCUUUCCCCAUUCUCUUCCGUCCCCUCCCCAUCUUCUCGCCGGCUUUCCAGUCACUUCACUCCUAGCCGUCCAGUCCCAUCUGCUCGAAAGCUAGCUUGGCUGUCUCUCCAGGGACGGCUUGUUAAUGCGGAGGAAGCUAGUUCAGCUGAAGCCAUUGGGGGUGGCCUCAGCCGAGAGCAAACUAUAGCUUGGGAACUGUUUAGCCCCGUUCAAAGGUUCCUCAUCGUAGCCGUGAUAGGCGUCGCUGUUGCGGAGUCUAAAAAGAAUAGGAUCAUUUUGCGGCUUUCAAAAUCUGUCGAGCUUAGGGUCAGUGAUUAUACUUUGAUUUGAUAAAAUGGUUUUGGGUGUAUUUCAAUUUUCAGUUCUGGUUUGAUAGUUUGCCUUUGAUUCAAUUGUUUUGGGUUCAGAAUUGAUUUGAUGUUCUGUUGGACAUUUCCCCUUUUAACGCUGCAUUAUUUAUGAUACGUUAGUUCAUAAUAGUUUUGUUAUGACGGGUUUUUCUUGUUUUAAUCUCCGUAUCUUUCUUCCCUUAUAUUAUGAUUUUGAUGAUUCUGCUUAUAAGUUCUUAGCUGAAUUAAUAUCUCUGCUAUUAUAUGACUGAAUAUAGACUUGCUGCAUGAUUUUGCGUAAUGGACAACGUAAAUAAAUUGUCUAAUCUUCAUCAACGGAAGUUGAAUUAGACUUUCUUUAAUGCUAAUUUUAUGACUGAAUUUUCUCAUCAGUUACAAGAAUUAUAUCACCUAGAAUUUAAUGUCUAAUAUUUUUCUUAACUUCACAUGCCCUCUUGUCUUAUUCUACUUAUAGUCUUUUGUUUGAGAGGGAGCAAAAUGUAAAACAUUCAGAACUUAUAUAGAUGCUUUCAUAUAACUCUCCUUUGCAUUCUGUUUUCAGGAUCAGGUGCUAUCGGGAAUGCAGCAGAAGCUAGAUGAUCUAUGCGAGCAGCUGAAUAGCAUUAAGAACCAUUCAAGGGCUGAGGCUAAUACAUUAUUAAACGAGAAUGUAGAAUCAUUAUCUAGUAAUGUUUUUGGUUGUGCUAGAAUUAAAUUUGUUGACUGCGGUUGUUGGCAUUGUGAUCAUCACCAAAACCUCUUUGCUGGUUUAAUGGUGAGGUUCAUACUAUGUGAAUUUUAAGUUGGGGUCAUCUUUUUGAGUUUUAGCAUUGAUAAGCUUAGAGUUCGUCUCAUGAUAUAAUAUGCUUAUCAAGUGCUAAAAUUUCUUUCCCCCUUUUAUUAUAUUGCAUCAGGACAACUCUGUUGAGAAACUAUCUCAAGGGGAUGAGGUGUUCGAGUAUAAAGUGCCUUUAGUCAAUGGAGCAGACCAAGAAGAGCGCCGCAUGUCAGAUUUGUCAGAUUGGGCUUCAAGUGUUACUUCCUCGGCAGAUAUCCAGGUGACAAAAAGUGCAGCUGCACACAUUUACCUUUUAUAGUUUUUUUGUUUGUUACAUAAUUUACACAUCAUGAGGUAACAAUCAAAACUGAACUUGCUUUAGAGGACUUGAAUUAGCAUAUAUCAGUUCGAUAUAGACGUCCAGUGAAUUGCAUACUACAUAAGUUGAGGAUGCCACAGUAGAUUUUGAGAUAAAGCUAUUAGUCUCUUCUGAGCCAUGUUCUCCAACUCGAGGUGUCUAAGCAUUGCACCAGAUGUGUGAAAAAUUGCUUGUGACCUUAAAUUGGAGAACAAGACCUUGGGACAUCCUGCAUUUAAAUAUAUGCGUCUUCUUGAACCUGUUAUAAUAGAUGAAUGUGUUGCCAGAAAAAUUAACGUGUUAAUAUCUCUUGUAUGUUCUUAGAAUUGCUUGCUUAAUAGAUUAUGAUCACUUUUCGUUGUUGUGCAUUCUUACAGCUUCAUGGUUUAUUCUAUCUCAUCCAUUAGCACAGUAUACUGGAAACUGAUUUUAUGACUUGAUUGCUAAAUGCUCAUUUUGGAUUUUUGAGCAAUGAAUAGGAACUGCUGAAAAUAUACAACAAUGUUCACUUUUGUAUAAAGUUUGAAGUUUUUUUUGUACUCAUGUGGUGUGUCUAUUUGCAGAUGAACUCAUCUUCAGUAGACCUAGAUAUCUCCAAUCUCAAGAGAGAGAAUGAAGAGAAGGAUGCCACCAUAAAGGAGCUUAGUAGUAUUCUUCAGUCAACUAAUAUGGCAGGUUCAAAGGUAUUGCCAUUACAGUUACUUUCCCUUUGCAAUUUAUACUACCAAAAUUUUCAAUCUGAUAUUUGUGAAUACGUUUUCGUUGAUAAUAGAGAACUGCAGAGCUGGAGGAUAUUAUACGCAGGAAGAACACUAUCAUUACAAAACUUAAGAAGGACAUAAUGGUAUUGGAACAAAAGGUAAGUCGGUGAAAUUUCUUCUUAGCAAAGAGUGGCAUACUUCAAAUGUGAUUUAUUGUCGUAAUGCAUGUCAUACAAAUCAUAACUGGCUUUUCUCACAGGAAAUGAGUCAUGAAGUGUGCAAAUGCUUUUCUUCUUAGAAACAGAAGCAAGUGGUUUGAAAUUUUAUGUUUGAAUUGAAUACUAUUAAAAGUGAUGGCACAUAUGUCAUUCAUAAUAAUUCAUGAAUGUGUAUGCAUCUGAUUUACAUGUGUUAUAAUUGGCUGCAAAUAGUAUCUCUGAGGUUUCUGUUCACAAUUGCUUGAACUCAUGAUUCCUGAAAUCUAUUACAGUUGGUUCACUUUACGAGAAUUCGGAGACCAUCUUCCUCUCCACCUAUCUCACACAGUUGGCAUUUUCCUCUUAUGAUGGAAAACAUAGUUUAUGAUAUGGACAGUAGUACCAGCCCUUCAUCUUCUGAUUCCGAUUCAUCUCCUGUAAACAGACCAAAAACAACCGAUACUAAAAAUCAGUUUACCCCUGUUCAGGUUUGUAACAAUAUUCCUCUCUUUUCUGAAUCAUAUUAACUCUUAUUUGACAAACAAGAAGCUCAUGUCUUACAAAUUCAGGAGACACCUCUUCAAAGUAGUGACUCUGCCCCAGCAACAAAGGGGAAAUCAACAUCUGCAACAGCAUCAAGUUCUUUGGCAAAAUUAACUGAACAACACAUGGAAUCGAGAUCAGCUACUCCUCUCAAAGAAAUAUCUACAAAUCAGAAGUUCAGAUCACUUUCUUCUUUGAGGCUAAAACAGUUGUCAGCUAAUGGAGAAUUUAAGAAGAUUAGAAGGCGAAGCCAAACUGCAUGUAGUGAUGCAGCUCCAAAGAAGAGAUGGAUGUAGUAAGUAAUCCACAGUUCUGGAAGUGUAAUAUUAAAUUACAUCAUUAGAACAAAAUUUCCUUUUAAAUCCCAUGACCCAGUUGCAAGUCUAGUAAAAGGUCAUCUUCAGAGCUAACUAUUAUUGAAUUUUACUGAGAUUCAAAUUGCAUCAGGAAUUUUUGAAAAGGGCUUCAGGUCAAAACUUUAUGAUGGUUUGAAAAUUUGACUUGCUAGCUAAGCUUGGAACCUGUCUUCCUUGGGUGACUGACCAUUGAAUUUCUCAUUGUAAAUCUGCAUCCAACAGUCAAUCCACAUAAAUCGCCAUCACAUCCCUAUGCUUCAGGGCAAAUGAGAUAAUUUCUGCUUGUUGAUUGAUUUGGUUUCUGUAUAUGCUGACUGAUUAAUAUUGAUCUAAAUUCCAAAGCAUAGCUGUUCUCCUUCUUAUGUUAUUAUUGCUGCUUGUUUUUGUAGGUUUAUGUGGUACACAUGUAUGUAGAGAUUAUAUAUACGUAAAUCUGGCAUUUUGGGGAUGAACAACUAUUGCCUUUCGCAAACUGAGGUAAAGGCAAUUUCAUCUAGGUUGAAUAUUCACCUCCCUGUUAUAUCAUAUUUGUGUAGUUAAAUUAAUGUAAUUGCUGAACUACAUUACUAUAGUUUUCAUUAGAUUCUCAUAGACUCGGUGAUCAUAGUUUAUUUGUGAUUUCUGUUUCUUUGAAUUGGCGGUGGUUGGCUUUUUCUGAAUUGAUCAGACCUAAGGUAUAGUAGUUAGUACACAAUCUGGUAUUAGAUAUGGAAAUGAUUAAACAUAAUCACCACCCACCAUUGAUCUUUGAAUUGUGGUAUCAAUUUCAUGAUUGAAAAUAUUACUACAGUGAGAAAUGAGAUCACAUGAAGGAGCAUACACACUUGACAUUGCUAUGGUUAUAGAUAAGUGAACCCUUGAGUUGAUUCAGCCUCUCAGCUUCUCUUUCACUGGAACAAUAUGAACAAACUCUUUCAGACCUAACUUCAGUUGACUCUCCCACUUUCAGCAGCCUUUUCUUUCUUCUUAUUUUCAAUUUUCAAAUUAUUGGAAUAGGCCAAGUUGGUUGGUAUCUGCACUGCACCAAAAGGUAUUAUACAUAUAUUUUUUAAUUGACAUGAGUUAAAGUUCUUUCAUUUUCAGUAAUUUUUUUUUCACACUUGAUUCAAACUUGGGCUUCAAAUGAAAUUAUCGAAUUUUAUUCUUUUUUAUUUUCCAAAAUUUCCUUUUCUUUUAGUUAGUAUUAAUUGUAAUAUACAAAAAUAAUGAUUUAGUAAAAAAUAUAGUUUCAUAAAUUUUCAAAGUAUCUUUGCUCAGUCUUCCUGAUUUUCAAAUGGAAUCAAGUCAUAUAUUUUCCUGCGUGUGGUCUCAGUCAAAACAGGUAAUGAUAUUAGUAAAAGGAGUUGCGCUUUAUAUUAUUGAAUGAAUAUUCGUUGUUAGCCUAGCCGCGUUUUACGAAACUUCAGUUUUAGUAUUAAUUGGUCAAUUACGGUAACCGAACUAAAAUAAAAAAUCAAAUAAUUUUAUGUAUUCAAAUUAAUUGAUAAUUAAAUUUCUAAAAUAAUUAUAUAAUUAUGAUUAAAAUGAUUUUAUUUUUUUGGUUUGGAUCCAAGGAUUGCUCCCUUGUAUAGAACUUUUUAUGUUUUACACAUUGUUUGGAGGAAGUAAAAUAAUGAUGUAAAAUGAUAUUAUUUAUUUUACCUUUUUAUUUUACACUCAUUGUUUGGAUCGAUGUAAAAUAAUUUUAUUAUUAUUAUUACAAAUGAGUAAUAACUUGGAUUACGUAGCGUUGCGUACAUCUAGGACCAUGGACUCGCAGGUUUUAUUAGGUUGUAUGUGUGCGCACGUCAUAAUCCUGUCAUUGAUUUUCUCCUCCCACGUCAUAUCUAAAGCCACGCAGAAAUGACGCGCGUGCUUUCACUCGAGAAACCCCACAGUCAUGUGUCUCCUAGUAGCUGGGCCUGUUCUUAAUUCUUUGGUCAGUAGCGUGUGGGAUCUCAAUCCUCCAUUUAGUCAACCGUUUUCCAUAGAAACUUCCAUGUAUUAUGACUUUUAUCAUUCUCUUAUUGGAGAGAAAGGUGGGAAGUUCCAAAUAAAAUUAAACUCUCCUAAUACAGAUCAAAUAAUUUUUUUUUAUUCAUUUAAAUGUCCUUGAGCCAAAAGAAUACUAUAGUGAAAUUAAAUUUUAAAAUUUAUUUAGAUAAAGUAGUAAUUUCAAUAAAAUCUCAGGAAUUUUAUAAUAAUUUACCUUUUUUUUUUUUAAUUUAUUUGUACCACCUCGGUAAUGGUAAUCUUUCUAUAAGCAGAUGGUGAAUUACUAGUUACUGCUAAUAAAAAAAAGAUUAAACCCCCACAUAAAGGUUACAAAGAUGGUUGUGUAUAGCAUCUUUUUCCCUCCCGUUUGCAUGCCAAAUUAGAAUUUUCUUAUUAUGUGAUGUACAAGGUCCCGAUCUAAAUACUUCAUAUAAAUAUGUCUAUAGUUACCUCCAAAAAAAUCAACAAAAUUCCAAAACCCAUCUCAAGUUUUUUAUUUUGACUUUUAUGUAUCUUCUCUGUCUUCUCCUUGCUUUCUCAUACCUUAAACUCUCCGUCAGAACAAUCUUUCUGAUACCCGAUAAGCUUAAGAUUAACGAGAAUCAACAACCAUGAGCUUAUGAAAACUAGACCAAAAUGACCAUGGACCGAACUUCACCCCCCGAAACCCCAAAUAGAGACCCAAAAUCUGUUAUAGUCCUUUCUAUCGACUGUCUUAAAGGUAGUUCCAAAGCCGAUGAAUGGACCGGAGACAUGCUCCAAACCGGCGACAUAGUUGAAGAAAUCAGGAUCGGCUCCGCUUCUUCUUCAGGAUCAAGAUCGUCUCAGUCGUUUAAAGCUCCGUUUAAAAAUGGAAAGAGUGGGGUCCAGAAGAUUCUUCAUGGCUCGUUUAAGAAUAAAGAGACUUCGAUUCUCGUCCGAAUCAGGCGAGGCCGAGACGAGUUCGCUGAGUUGCAAGCUUGUAUCGUUCCUGAAUCGGGGUCUAAAAGGCAAUACAUUUUGAGGUCUAUUGCGGAUCCGAAUUAUACUGUUGGAUUCUCUGAUCGGUCCGAGGCGGAUUGCUUCGAGUUGCAAGGUGAAUUUUCAUUUUCUUUUGCUUUUGUUUUUACGAUUUCUGUGAUUUCGGAACUUUUUUUUUUUCUUUUUUUUGACUUUGACUUGGGAUUCUAUGCUAGUUGUUGGAUUCUCAUCCGCUGAAUUCUGGACACGUGUUAUGUUUUUAUGUUAAAUUUUUUGUUGAAUUUUAUGUUAAAAAAACCGGAUAAAAGAGCCUCCAAAUGAAGUAUUGAAUAGGAUGACAGGCACCUAUCGACAGAUGAUCCAAUUUUUCUCAGGGAAAAAAAAAAAAAAAAAACAAAAAAUAGGGUUUGAACAUUGAAUUCGAACCCACCAAAGCUAGAAUGAUUUGUGAAAAGGUCAUAUAAAAGCUAAAGUGAGAUUCGUAAAUUGGAAUUUCCUCUUGGCCCACUAGCACCAGGCAUGUUGGAUGAGUUGGUAUUCGGCCCUGGUGUAUUGUUAAAUGUCUUUUUCAAUCUAAAUGCACAUCCUUGUUUCUUCAUUGUCAGCAGCUAAUUGCGUGAUUAUCAUGUCUUACUUUUAGAUUAAUUGACUUUGGUAAUCUUGGCAUUAUAAAUUGCAUUUUGUGGUAGUUGAACUAUUUUGUUCACACUCCUUUUGGUGCUUCAAAUUUUGAUUCUUCUUUAUCUUUCACACUGUAAAUUUUAAAUUUUGGAAUUUGCCUUGUAACUUCAUUUGGAACUUAAUCCAGUUGACACUUUUCUUGUCCGUUGCGAUUUUUUUACUUAAUCUUGCAAAACAAUAAAAUUGAUUGAAUUUUGCAGCUUCAAGAAGCUCCAGAAUAGUCACUGCAUUAUCCAGUGCUACGCUUCAAGAUGGAUAUGUCUCGUAUCCAUGGACGAGGAGGAUGCAGGAGGUUCUGCCUGUUACUAAUUCAAGCUGCUUUCUUUCUAUACUUCUCCUUCCUAAAGUCUCUGAUCGAGUUGCUUCUCGGUAUAAUGACUUGGAUGACACUCUUGCCAGGGCAAAUACCUGGCUGUAUGCGUCUCAGGCUUCUGGGGUCCCGAUUGUUUUCAUGAAUAUUCAGACGGAGUCUCUGCUUACAAAGGUAACAAUCUCUGCCUCAGUUAAAUUAGAUUACUUUAUGUGCUUAAAGCAUAGGGUACGUGUGAGACAGGAGAACUUCGUGAUCCUUUGUUCAUCUCACCAAUGAAGCGGAAAUAAACAUGGUUAUACAUUUCUGACUUUCAUGGGUUUAAAAAAAAAAAAAAAGAGGAAAAAAAGCUACUUCCGAGUUGGGUACUCUGCUUUAAUGUAAUUGUUUAAACUUGUAUUUGUGUUAUUACAUUUGCACGCAAACUUACAAAUCCUCAAGUUCCUUUUUUUUGUUUUCUUUUUAAACUAUAGAAAUGUUUAUGUGGUUUCUAUUUUGGCACAGAUAUCUGGAGAGACAGCCUCUUCUACGGUGAAUGCCGGGUCAUUAUCUGAUUUGUCUAAUCUAGCACAUGCAAGCUUGUAUGGCUUCGAGGAUUACCAUGGAGUUGACAUUGGCGUUGUUAGAGCAGUCCGUCUUUGGUAUGCACCUCUGUGUGGAGAGUUUGCAAUAGAGAUGAAAAUAAAAGAGGAUGAUUCAAAGCUAGGGUUUGCCAUUAGUCGCACAGAAGAGGUAUCUUAUAUAGUCUGGGCUUUUUUUUCUCUGUUUUUCUUUACAGGUUUAUAUAACUCCUUUAAUGAACACAAUUGCUUAAUUAAUUUUCUUAUGUUCCUGCAGGGGUUUAUCUAUAUUUCAUCAGUCAUUGAAGGUAAUGAAAAUACACCCUCAACAAGGUCAGGUCUCAACAAUCUAUACAGAGAGGCAACAAAUAAAUCAAGACUGCUAGUUGUCUCAAGAGUAUCAAACCAGAGGGUCCUUCCUUGGAUGGUAUCUUCAACAGGAGCAGUAAGAUGCUUCGACACGGUUUCCCUCAGCCAAAAACUGUCGCUGCAUCGGCAUGCCAAGGUGCCUAUCCUCAUUCAUGUCUUCUUAUGGGACCGAUCAUUGGCUUCAAUUAGUACAGCCAAUGCUAGGCUUAGGUCUGUCUCCCCUCCUGUCAUGUCAUUUCCACCUGAAAUUCAAUUGGCACACCCUCCCAACGAGAAUCAAAUAAUGCCUCUGCCACCUGAAGUUCCAAAUGAGGAAGAAGUGAUUAGGGAUCAGCCAGAGAUUAGACUUGAGCGAGACACAGCCGGAGAAGCCUCCUUCAGAUUCCAUGAUUUUUCACUUCCGAACAACUGGGUUUGACUAUUCUUUCAAUUUUUCUCCUUGUCAGUUGAUCUUUGUAUAGGUUACCACGGAAGUUUAUAGUUGAUUCAUUCAGAUAGCUUAAAUCAGAAAAUUAGGAAUAAGAUCCUAGAAUUAUUCAUACCCUUCUUACGUGGGGUUUGUGUAUAUGCCAAACGAAUGUCUACUUGUGCCUAUUACCUGUUAUAAAUACUUGAAUGGGUUGGCAAUUUCAAUUUUGUUAAUUCAAUAAUUUUGAAUCUAAGUUUGUUAAUUUUAGAAUGUUGUUUUGUUCUCCUACUAUUAUUUCGUAUUUUGUUAAACGUGCUCCUAUUGAAAAGCAAAACGACACCGUUGUUAGAUUUCAUAGCAGAUCGAAAUUGGAACGCUAGAUAACUUUCGCCUCCAAACGAAAAGGAAAAUUUCAAAUUCCCGCUUAAGAGAUAAAUCCCAUUGGCUAUUCCUCUUCGCACAAGGAUUGCGAUCCGCGUGAACUUUUCAUAAUGAUUUCUCACCGUGGAUAAGUUCGAAAUCCAACGGCUAAAGUUAACGCAAACAAAACUACGGAGAAAAGCACCGCAGUUGCCCGUUUGUUUCCCUCUAGUAUUCUACCAUAAAUAGCCAUCAAAAUCUUGUUCCUCAUCAAGUUUCCCUCUCAAAAUCAUCCAUUUUCUUGUAAAACAAACACACUGCGUUUCAAUUUCUUAUUCGUCGAUGGCUCGCACCAAGCAAACAGCAAGGAAAUCAACAGGAGGGAAGGCUCCGCGGAAGCAGCUGGCUACAAAAGCUGCUCGGAAAUCUGCUCCGGCGACGGGAGGAGUAAAGAAACCUCACCGUUUCAGGCCAGGGACAGUGGCACUGAGAGAGAUCAGGAAGUAUCAAAAGAGUACUGAGCUUUUGAUUCGAAAGCUUCCGUUUCAGAGGCUGGUGAGAGAAAUCGCUCAGGAUUUUAAAACCGAUCUUAGGUUCCAAAGCAGUGCUGUUGCUGCGCUUCAAGAAGCUGCCGAGGCAUACUUGGUGGGGCUUUUCGAGGAUACCAAUCUCUGUGCUAUUCAUGCCAAGAGAGUUACCAUUAUGCCUAAGGAUAUUCAAUUAGCUCGCAGGAUUAGGGGUGAAAGGGCAUAAAUUUUCUUUCUUUGGUCUAUUAGUAUUACCUCUAUUUCUAAUUUUCCCUCUAAAUCUUUAUCUAGUGCUAAUUUCUUUGUAUUUUUGGUACUGGUUGCUUGUAGUUGCUUAUGUAAAUUUACAGAGAUUCAAUUUAAAUUUUGAAUUUUGCUCACGCAAAUUUAUAAUUUUCCCUCCAAAUCUUUUAUCUAGGGCUAAUUUCUUUUCGUUUCUUUUGUUGAACUAUUUUUCGAUGCAUUAUAUUUGCGGGAUUGCAUAUUUCUGUGUUUGCUUCAGUUCAGAAAGUUGUAGAUUGAAAUGAUUGUAAAGGGCAUGGCGUUUAAAUUAUCACUGUGGUUUUAUCACCAAGUCGUUUAGACAGGAUGUCUAAGUUACGCAAAGCAUCAAAUUUCAAUCCCCUACCGAUUACCUUUGGUUCUGUCGCCGGGUCCUUCAACUCCGGUAAAAUGUUAGGAUUUGAGCGAAUUCAUUAACAAUUAUACAUCUCAAAUUUGUCCAUCUCUUUAAUUUCAAAUUGCAUAAUAUUAUCAUGAGUUGUAUAUUUAAAUAAAAAUGUAAGAUUUAAGAAAUCUGUAGACAAUAAUAUCAAACAAUAAAAAAUUGAUUUUGAGCUAUUUUUAUUUUUUUUAUUUAACGUGAUAUAAAUUUUAAUAAAAAUCGUGGAUUUUACAUUUUCUCAAUAAGUAACCUUGAAAAUUUGACUCAGAAAUUAAAUGGGAAUUUAUUGCCAGGCCCCCACGUAGGCGUCAGCAACCCGCGCAAAUUAGCAUCACAGCCAAUGGCGGGAAAUCGGAUAAAGAAAAAAAGAUAGCAGUGGGUUUUCUUUUUGGCCUAUGUCCUCAAUAAUUCCUAGUGAUUGUAUUGCACGAAGAUUUUUUUGGCGAAGAUGAAGAAAUACCUGAUUCCCCUUAAACCCUCCCCUGAAUCCCCUAAACCUGUUCUGAGGUAAACCGAACUCAAAUUUCUUUGUUUCUUAGACCUCAAUUUGUAAUUCAAGAUGCGUUCCUAAUUUUUUUGUCUCUCGGAAUUGAAAAGCCAUGGAUGGAAGAGGAGCCUAAUUGAAUUGAAAGGGAGGUUUGAGCCUAAGUACCGCCACCAUCUUGCUGCCUUACUUAUGCAAUCCUACUCCGAGGUCCCUCCAUUUUCGUUAAAUUUUCCGUCUUGCUUUUUCAGUAAUUACAUUGCUGAUUCUCUUCCGAGCUGAAACUUCUUGUUUUUUUUUUUUUUUUUUUUUUUUUUUUUUUUCGUUUUGAUAUAUUUUUUUUGCUUGAUACGAAUAGGUUGGGGCAUUUCCACAUUUUUAUCACGUAGACGGAGUUCCUUGUCAAACUCAUGUAUGCAAUAUUACAAUUCAAUGUGAUUUGCUGUUUGCUUUUGUUGGCUGACUUUUGUUCUUAUGUCUUUUAUUAAUAUUGAAGCCUUAUUAGUUUGUUUGAUGUCACGUGAUUAUUUAACAUAAUGUUGCACAGAUGCAUUGGAUCGAUAGUGUUGCUAAUGCGGAUUCCCCAGUUCCAAUUACAAGGUCCACGCUUCCUCUCCACCUUGAUCAUUUUCCUGUUGACAAUUCUUAUGAAUAUAAGCCUUGUCGUUUAUUAUGUAUCUUUUGCUUUUCUAUACUAGCCAUUUGAAUAACCUUUUGCUGGGUGUGUGUGUGUGUCUCUGCUGCUCAAAUCUUUCUCAUGUGUUGCAUUUUCUUGAAAAAUGUGAUGUUUCUACUAUCUCUUGAUUAUUGGAACUUAAUUCUAAUGCUUCAUUCAGUUUGUCAAUUGCUAUUCCAGUGAUAGUUUUUAUGAAGUUCCAUUUAUUCAACCUUAGUUAAUAUUAAAGAGAUAUCUUAUUAUGAUCUUCGCAGGCAAGGUAUCUCUGCCAUGGAAUUUGACACUAAGGUGAAUGCUUUUGUCACUAUUUGCUAGUUAAAAUAUUGGAUUCUCAAACAUAUUAUUUUCCCCUCUAUAUCAAGCCUCUCUCCAUAUUAAUUUUCAUCAGUAUGGACAUGUUGGGCCUGCUUGUUUUUGUGGAUUUGGUUUGAGAACCUUGUUCUUUAUGCAUUCCACGCUUUUUUACCUUCCUGUUACUUUCUCAUCUUGUGGUUGUUGGAUGAAAUAUGAAGAUGGGGUCUCUGUUUCAUUAUUGUGGAUUGGUAGUCAAUGGGGUCAUGCCUGAAACCUUUUAAAUUGGUUUGCACAUAUUUUGUAAUUUGAAAAAUUUUUCCAGACUGUCUAUAUUGGGGAGAAAGAGAAGAACAAGAUAAAAUAAAAACAAAUAGCUAGAAAUUUAAUAAAAUAUGAGUAUUUGGUUGGAAGUUGAAAAAUAUUAUGAUAUCGGAUUAUGUUUCCUCGAUCGAUUUUUGGGCUUGUCCGAGCAAGGUACUCGUCUCUCUUCUGUCACAAGUGUGUGCACACUCAAAGAUUGUUGUGUAUUCUGUCCUCCUAAGAACCGAUAUCAGUUAGUGUGAUAAGAUGAAAGUACAAAUAAGUCCAAAUUGUUGCUUUCAUAAUUGCCAUUCUUUUUUUAACCUUUCAUUUCUGUUAUCCUUCUUCCCUAUUUUUAACAUUUGUAGAUACAUGUCCAGGGAGUUUACUUAGUGUCUGUGACAAAAUCGGGGUGCUUAACAGUUCAUGACUUUGAAACUCUUUAUAGCCAUACUAAUGGCUCAUUGCCAAGUAAGUUUCCCUUUCAGUCUGCAAGGAAAUUUUCAAUUGUCUGGUCCAUGUAUAAUAGUCACCAUGGGAUCUUGUGGUUCUGGCCAUUAUAACAAAUAUGAUGAUUAAAUAUAUCUAUCACAGGCCACCAGCUCUUCUUACUCAAGACAGUUAUCUCUCUUAGUUGUUUUUGUACAUAGUAUAAUUUUUUCAGUGGCUGCAACGUUUCUGCUUCCUUUUCCUAGUAGGCUCAAAAGAAGAUGAAAGCAAACAUGUAAUGCACCUUUCUUUGCAUCGGCAACUUGAUGUUGUCCGUUGGAAUCUUGCUCACCAAGAUGAGGUUUGGAAGCAUUUACUUGUCCGAUUGGUGUUAUUCAUUUUAGCAAUCAUAGAUGAAAGUAUAUUGCUUAAUAUUGUACUAGAAAUCUAACCUUCCCAACACUUGAUGUUCCAAUUUCUAGGUUGCCUGCUCAUCUAUGAAAAGAAAUGAAGUACUCAUUUAUGACAUUGGUUAUAUCUCAUCUGAACCAGUUGAAGUAAGUAGAUUUCAUUCUACAUUUUAUCUAACAGAAAUUUGAAAUUCUUUUGUACCAAAAUUUGUUUCAAUGGAUCUACAGUUCCACUACUUUCAAUUUUAAAGGGCAUAAGUGGAUCCCUCUUCUGCAAAUAUUUGAAAAUGCCACUUAGGAAACUUGGUUGUAGGAUUGGUAAUUGGUUGGGCCUGAGACAUUUGUGUUAUUUGAGAAUCACAGUUAUCAUAAAAGAAAGAACAGAAUUUGCGUAUGAUGGGCCCCGCACUGAAUUACUUUACUAUUCACCUUUUUCUUUGCUUUGAUAUUGUUUGCUGAAGUUCUGGUGAUAAAUAGUUUUGAAUGUCCAAGAAAUGAAUUUUGUUUGUUGUGGAUGCAGGUUUUAAGAACUAAGUGUACUGUCACGGUUCAUGGGUCUGAAGUUCAUAAAGGUCCAACUGAUAUAGCUUUUACAAUAAUUGACAAAUCAAGGUUGGUGAAACAAUAGCUUUUGGUGUGAUAAUUUCCCAUUCUUUUCCCAAACUUGAGUGCUGGGAUGCUGAUUACUGGCAAGCAAGUAAUAUAUAUCAAUUUAUAAUUAAGGUCAUACAAUAUGAUGUCUAUGGUAGGAUGAAUGCUUAAUAUGAAUACUCCAAAUAUUAUUGUACUAGUCUUGUUCUUUGACCUUGUUUAUCCCAUCCUUAACAUCUCUUGUCUUUUAGGUUUGUAUCAGUCUUCUUUUAGCUCAUUUUCCCUCUGUGAUGAUAGGUUAAUUGCUUCUGACACACAUGGUGUAGUUAAUAUAUGGGAUAGAAGAAUGGGUGUUCUUCCAUGUCUUGAGCUUACAACUAAUUCCCGCAGCACGAUCAACAGCAUUCAAAUGAACGCGGAAAAUCAGGUAAUUACUCGUGGAGAACAGUUACUGAUUUAUUGUGAAGUUAUAAGCUUUGCAAGAGGUGAAUAUUUAUGUAGCUCUAUAUAUUCUCAUAGCAAUAUUUGUGGAAAUGCCAUUUGUCUUAGAGCAGCAACUAAAUUUGGGAAUUUGGGAGGUUUAAUAUUAUCUACGAUCCACAAUUUAGUUUUAAUAUUUGUUCCAUUGAAUUUGUUUUAUUUUAUAAGCAUAAGUUGGAAAAUGUUUAUUCUCUUAUAUGGUAGAUUCUCUAAAAGUGAAAAUAAUUCUCAUUAUUUGUAAAUUUUGUUGAUCUACGUUCUGAAGGAGCUUAAAUAAAAAUGAGUUAUUUUGACGCAGAUGGUUUUUGGGGCUGGCAGGCAUGGAAUUGUUUAUGCAUGGGAUCUUCGUGGUGGAAGAGCAUCCACUGCCUUCCAAAGUCAUAAAGAGGUACUUUUUUGAAUUCUUGUUAUUUAUGGCAUGGUACAAGAACUGGACUUGCAAGUGGACAGGAAGCAGCUUUCAAACAGUAGUAGUCAAUACUCAAAACUAACUACGAUGUUAUCAUGAUUUUAAGUUUUACUGGCUAGCCACACUUAGGCACAAACAAAUGUUUAUCACAGUAGUUUCUAUUGAAGCAAGCAGCACUAACAACUUUCUAUAUCAAUAUUUGCCCAUUCAGUAGAACAUAUAUGAUAUAUAUAUAAAUUAUUUGUGGUAAUUGAUAGAACAAGUGCAUCAACGUUUUCCUUUUAUCUGCAAUACUCUGAAUUUUGCAUAAACAGGUGUGCCAUCCACCAGUGACAUGUUGGAAGCUAGCAUCAAUGUUAGAGAAAAUUGCGAUGUUGAAGGUAAGUAAAAUAUUUUUUGUUGCCAUUUUAAUAUUAUCACUGCUCAAAGGUCAAUCUUGCCUUAGUUAAUCCUCUUAAUGACACAGGCUCAAUCAGCUAUUACCCCCAAGGAAGUGCACUCCAUUGAUUUUGAUCCAUCUUGCCCAUAUCAGUUGGCAUUUCAUCUUGAUGAUGGUUGGUAGGUCAGGAAAUGAACACAUUUACUGUUUUUGUCAUGUUUCUAGGUGUCAAAUUAUUGUGGCAGUCACCUAUCUAAUCUUGCUGACUUUCAUUGCUAAUAUUUGCAGUAUUAUCUAUUUAUCUAGACUAUAUUUCAUUACUGGAUAAAAGCUUAAUAUUUUACUUAUUUCCUUAACUAUUCUUUUUAGUUUACUUCUUCCUUUUUUAGUUUUUGGGGGCGUGGUAGGUGGGAGGGUGGGAAUGUGGAGGAUUUAUUUUGUUUUAUUUUUUUGAAAGCCACAUAUUAUAGUGACUUGGCAAAUAUCAGAAAUCAUGGUCAAAGCUUGCUGUCGUGGCAUUUUCUAUCUCAUAUUUGCUAGGUUGUUUUAUUUCUUAUUCUGUUUGAAUGGGAAUGAAGUUGAAAGCCAAUUAAUUGAACGUAGCCAUAUAGGAAGAAAAGGCUGAAUGCAUGAUAACUAUGAGCUCAACUAAUAAUCAGAGUCUUGACCAUGUCAACUGGAAGAUGUGCUUUGUCAACAGAAUGAGCACUAAAUAGAACAGAUUCUUAUGACGGGUUCUAGUAAGACUUGAGAGAAGAAAUUUUAGAAGCAAAUUUCAAUACUUUUGAUGCAUCAAAGAGUUACUGCUCUCGUUCAAAUGAAUAAGCUUGUAUGCAAACAAUAUGGUUGAAUUAUUAUAAUCUUAUUCUGAACUUUCAGAUCUUCAAGUAAUGCAGGUCGGGUGUCUUGGAUAUUUAUAAUUUUAAAGUUACACAUGUUCAUUGCCCUCCUCCAGCUUGGUUGUAAGUAAAUUUUGUUCAUCCUAUGUUGCAAUAUAUUGUAAUUGGUAACCAAAUUGUAUUCCCUAAUUGUUAAAUUACUUUGAUGCUUUGGAUUGAGCAGGAAUGAUUCCAACAUUUCAGCUGAUCUUUUAUACUUGAGAAAACCAUCAUGGCUGCCAACAUAUUCGGUAUGAAUCCUGUACCCAAUCUCUUUUAUUCACCCACUUAAAUUUGGUUUGAAGCCAACUGGGGCUUGACUAUGUUUGGUUCUCGUGUAAUUUGGGUGGAAUGUGAUGUAUUCCAAUGCAGGUGUAUGUGGUUGGAUCAUCAUCUGCCAACGGCAUCCAUCUUUUAGAUUUCUAUCCUGACCCUAGUUCUCCCUGCCAUGUAGACAACAGGUAAAAUAUCUAUUCAUGUAAAUCUGGUCCAUCAAUGGCUGAAUUUUGGUUAAUGACCUGAUUUUUCCUUUGCUGGUCAGACAAGAAUUGUCAUCCUUUCUAAUCAGUUAUUCAUAAAUAUGUAAAAUACAUUUAUUGUGUUUCCAAAGAUUCCAUCAAAUCAAUUCCUUCAAUACGUGUGACCUUAUCAUUUUUCUUGGAAAGUUAUUAUCUCUUUGUACAGUCGCCUUAAAGGUGCUUCAUAAAGUGGUAUCUAUUCUAUGUCUACCCUAAAAAGAAGAUUCAUGUCAGUUUUUUAUUAUCCUACCAACUCCCCCUCCCUAAAAAAGAAAGAAAAGCUUUCUUGUCUGUGCUCAUUUUGUUUAUUUGGAUUUCAUUUUCAGAUCAUUUACUGAUUAGUUGUAACUGUUGUUAUUUCAGUGAGGAUGUAGAGAAGCAUUCUGGAACAAACAACAAAAAUAAACAAAAUAAGUUUGUUCCAUUAUCUGAAGCUGUUACUGCAUGCGCUGCACAUCCCAUGAAUGGAGCCAUCAUUGCUGGAACUAAGGUUUGUGGUUUUGGAUGAUCUAAUUAUGUACCUUUCUGAGAUCUUUCUGUAGUUGUGUCUUUACAUCUGCAUUAUAGAUUUUGUUAGUUUGCGAUUUUCGAUGACUUGAGGUUCACAAGUGAUGAAAAAUAGCACCUUUAUUUGGUUGCUUGACAAUUUAAGCAUAACCCGUAAGCACUUAUCUCAUAUUAAUGUUUCAUUGCUUGACCUGCAACUUGCACAAUCAUUGACAUCAUAACUAUUAAUCUCAGCCUUUUUCAAUGUAUCAUUAUCUUCCCAUUGUACUUCAAAAUAUGGAUGCUGAGUUUUUGAAUAAUGAUUGAUUUCAGCAUUCGUCUUUACUGGUUGUGUCCCAACAAAAGCAGUCGCUAAGAAGCUAAAUCAGAACGUGAGGAGUCGCACAAAGAUCAAAAUUCAACUGCCGAUCAUUUAUGUUACGCCAUUCUGAUUCUGUCAGACACCGGAUGCAGAAGAAACGCAUAAAAUGCUCAUUAUAAGCUGCAGAGCAGCACACCCUUUAACGCAUGUAUCUUCUCAUUUCAAAGACGCCAUCUCUUGUGCUGUAAUGUUGAAUGAACAGAUGAAUUUUAGUGCCUUGCCAAUUGUAUAUGGUUUUUAGUUUACCUAAAAUAACAUGCUAUUAGCUUUCAAUUGCUAUUUCAUUUAACAAUUUGGACAAAUACAUCAAGGAGCCAGAACAUCAAACCCAAUUAGGUAUUAGAUUUGAAAACAAUUUACAACCACGAAAUCUGAAUAUUUAUAACCUAACCAAUCAUCAAAUAGAACCAUAAAUGUAACCAAGGCAAUACAGUAUUCUAGUGAGAUGGACUGUUCUAUGCCCUUUCACCCCUAAUCCUCCUUGCAAGCUGGAUGUCUUUAGGCAUAAUGGUGACCCUCUUAGCAUGAAUAGCGCAGAGAUUUGUGUCCUCAAAGAGACCGACAAGGUAUGCUUCUGCAGCCUCUUGAAGAGCCGCAACUGCGCUGCUUUGGAACCUUAGAUCCGUUUUGAAAUCCUGAGCAAUUUCUCUAACCAACCUCUGGAAAGGAAGCUUACGGAUCAAGAGCUCAGUACUCUUCUGAUACUUCCUGAUUUCUCUCAAUGCGACCGUCCCAGGUCUGAAACGGUGAGGUUUCUUCACUCCCCCAGUUGCCGGAGCUGACUUCCUGGCUGCCUUAGUUGCCAGCUGCUUGCGUGGCGCCUUUCCUCCGGUUGAUUUCCUCGCUGUUUGCUUGGUGCGAGCCAUAGCAGUUGAUCGAAAAGUGAGUAUUUGUUUCUUGAGAAAAUAUGCAAUAUCAAACUGAUUCUGUGAGCGAUGGCGAUGAGAUUUAGUGUUCCGGAUAUCAUUUAUAGCGGUUAGUUUCGGAACUUUUGUGCGAGUGAAUGGCUUUUUGGAGCGUUGAUCGGUAAUAUUAUGGACGGUUAGGAUGGCUAUCCGCGUGCUCUUUGAAUCGACCAAUAGGAUUUUUUGUUUAGUAAGCGGGAAUUUGAAAAGUUCUCAGAUGGGGUGUCUGGACCGUGGAUGUAACAGUAAUCGACGGUUGAAGUUUCAUUAGAAAGGAGACAGGAUUGAGACUUGAGAUCCUCUCGCCGUCUUUUUAAUAUAAUAUAAACAUAAAAGGCGGCAAUAUUUAACCUUUUUGGCUGACAGGCUUUCAAAAUUUGCAAACUGCGUGAGCCGUUCAACUUGACCCUUUCUCAGGCCCAUUUUGAUCUUGUAUGGGCCAUAGGGACCUGUCUUGAUCCAUUUCUCUUGGAUAAUUUUCUGAGAUUAAAAAAGAAGAAGGGAAAGUCCAUGCAUUGGGCUUACACUUGGGGCCUGGGGGCAUCUAAGAAAUGGGGUUGGUAAUUUCACCUGUCCCGACCUGGAUAGACGAUGUGAAAUGAAAGUGAAGAUAUUCUUUUUCUCGAUGUAAUUGGAAAUAAAAUAAAAUUUUCGAAAUAAAAAUUAACCUUUUAAAUUUAUUCAUUUAAAUAUCACAGAAUUAAUUUUAUAAUUACAUCAAUUUUAAUGAUCAUUUAAAAUAAAUUGCAUUAAAUUAUUUAAAAAAUAAAUUUUUAUAGUUUAGAUAUUCUUUAGGAGAGGAAGUGCUUAAUUCACGGGUCAUGAAUCCUACCAUAUGAGGAUAAGCUUUUUUAUUUUUUAUUUUUUCCCCCUUGUAUCCCAGUUUGAACGACAUUGACAAGAAAUUCAUAAAUACUAACUCAAUUAUUUCAUUCAUAAAAAACAAAAAUAAAAAUAGAUUACAACAAUCAGCAAUAGCAGAAGAAAAUGUUAUAAAGUCAGUAUCAAAAUAAUUAAUGAGAGGUACCCACGACACAAACUUAUAGCUACAUGUUUUUCUCUUCCCCAUUCCCCAGCAUGCCAACUUAUGUUUUGCUUAUAUAUUAUUUAUUUAUUUAUUUAUUAGGUUCAAUCAAUCACCAAUGCACAUAAAAAAUAACCUCUCUAAUCGUAUUUAACAUUCAAAAAAUAGCCAAAUUUCUUCAUUUUAACUUAAAUUUAAAAAAAUAUAUAACUAUUACAUACACCAGAGAAGAGAAUAUGGAGUUUAAGAAACAUCCAAGAGAUUGGAGUAUUGUUAUGAUCCUCAUUCCUCAAUAUUAGCAAUUUUCAAGGAAUAUAUUAUUUUAUGAAACAAGACAAACUAUGAGCACAUAUGUUGGUGACUGUGUUCUGGAAAUUGGAGAUGUUGCAGGGCUAAAAACAUAUGGCUUCUAACCUAAUUUUAUACAUAUGUUUUCUUUUUUUUUUGUCUGAAACUGUAUUUCAUUUUUCACAACAAAUUAGAUUCCCAACUACCACCACCUUACUGCUGAAUUUUAUUAUACAUUUUUCUUGUUUUAGCGUUGUACUAAAUUAUUGUCUAUUUAAGCAAAUUUAAAUAUUCGUUAGUAAGUGACGUAGUAAAAUUAUUAUCAACAGAAUAAGCUAAAAUAGACUGCAUUUAGAGGCAUAUUUUAUGUUAAUCAAUUUGCGGGUUGCACUCUCGUGAUAAUAUAAAGAAUGUCAAUUAAAAUAUAGAGGCAACACUUUCAGGUUUUGGCUCAUUUGGCAACACAUAUCGAGCAUGUGAGAAGAACUAUCUCCACUAAACACACUUACAAAAAGAAGUGAAGAGUUUUAACUGUGAUUAAGUCCUGAACUAGAUCAGGCGGUUCCUGAUAAUAGAGUUCGGAUACCAGUAGUUUAUACCAUGAAAAAUAUAUAGAGGGCAGCCAACAAAUGACUUGGCAUUUGUGCAAGAGAUAGGGAUUAAGAGAGCAUAUUCAGUAAGACAAUUACCAAGGAUAAAAAGAAGCCUACAUAGCUACAUAUACAUAUAUAUGAAUAUGGUAAAGUAUUAAUAUGUAAUAAUAAAUUAAUAUGGUGAUUUAUAGUAAUAAUGAUUAAUUAAACUUAUAGGAAAUUGGAAUCAAACUUCUAACCAAAUGGAACAAAGAAAAGAGGACAAAAAGCCAAAACACGAUACUGAGGAAGAGCCAGAAAGAAUGGCUUAGCUUUCUACUUUCUCUUCAAAUGUAAAAUUUUCACUUGCAUAAUAAAACUGGCAAAAAGAAUAAAGUAACCAAAAUUGAUGGAGAAUGUACAUUUUGUGGUCACCUCAUAAUGAAAAAGAUAUAGGCAUGCUUGCUUCUUCAUGGCUUCUAUUGUAUCUUUUCCUCUAUUAGUUGCUGUUUGUAUUCUUUGUCAGUCCAAAGAAAGAGACAUUGCAAUCCCUAUCUCUCUUGUUUCUUUCAGACAAGGCUGUAACUGAAAAUGAAAGCUUAGAUAGAAAUAAUGAAGCACACUCUAUUAAUUACUUACCAUUAUCUUCACAUUAUAUAAUAAAGCUUCAAUCAUGCAGAUUUAUUUAAUUAUAGAUUUCUUUUUGAAAUGUUAAUUAAUUGCUAAUUAACUAUAGAUUUGGCUUAUUUGUAAGUAACCCUAAACAUCAUUUUAUAGAUAUGAUUGCUUAUAAGCCUUUUAAGUAUGGAAGUGAUAAUGGGAUACAGAAGAAAAUAGACUGGGGUGAGGUGGUUUUGAUCAUUACAAGUGCUUCCACCAGAUUUUUUAUAUAUAAAUGAAUUUUCAUUUUAUAAUUAUAAUUUGUACCUUAAACUUUACAGCCAUGCUCUAGCUUUGGUAGUGAUACCCAUCAUGUGCCUAGACAUAUAUAUAUAUACACACACAUGUAUAUCUUACUCAGCAAUGGGACAAAUGGGUACUUCCUAUACUAUCAUGAGAGCAUGUAUUGGGUCCAUAUAUAUGUGGUUCUCACAUGCUAUGUAAUUGGUUUGGUGGCACUGAUAUCUUUGAUUUCUAUUUUUUUUUUUUUUUUUGAGUUUUCUUACAAAAUAAAAAAGAAAACCUCUAAAUUUAAAUCUCUUAUUGAAAUAUUAAUAAAUUACUAUUUUUUUUUUCCCUUUCAAAAAAAAAAAUUACUAUUUUUUUAUUUAUUUAUAGGAGACUCAAUAUACAAAAUUAACAGUGAUCAAUUUGAUAUUUCACUCUCCAAUAUUUCUACAGAACUUGAGAAAAUCACCUAAACCUAAGCAGCUAAUUAAUUAAAGAUUUGAACUUACACUUUGGUUUCAAGAUUAGAAUUUAGAACCUCAUACUAACUUUCCCAACAAAACAAAAGACUUUUCAAAAUUUUAACUUUCCAAUGUUCCAAUCAUAAUUACAUGUCUGCUUUGACCUUUUAAUCAUCAAAUCAGAUAGUAAGACCUAAUUUUGAUGUUUGGUUAGAAAUGUUUCUUUUCACUUUUCAUGUCUCAGCUAUACAUGUACAGUGAUGAGCAUAUGAAGGAAGUUAAGAGCCCGGUGGCUACUAGCUGUAUAAAGAGUUUUUGCAUGAGAAUUAAAAAAAAAUUAUUUCUUUUUAAUUAUAAUAAAAUCAAAGGUAAUUUGAUAAAAUUAUUUUUUAUUUCAUAUUAUUAUUCAUAUCUCAUAUCCUUGUAUUUAAUAUAAAUAAGAAUAAUAAAAUUAAAAAAAAGAUCAUUUAUUAUUCUUUAAGACACCGAAAACGAUAUAUAUAUUGAAAUUAGAAUAAUUUACAUUACAUAGUUAUUAAUUAAUAAAACAAUAAGCACUGUGUUGGUGAUUUGAUUAAGCAAGCUGACCACUUUUUGCAUGUGGAGGUUUUGACAAACCAUACUUACUUUUGAAGGGGUGGUUGCCUCUCUAACUUAAUUUUGGAUAAAUUAAUAAUUACUUUUCUAAUCGAAGUAGUUAUGGGAAACAACGACCUCUGUAUUCAUUUAAUACUUUAAUUUUUCAUAAUCCUACAUGUAAUUCCAUUUUCAAUUAUACAAAUAUUCUAAUUAUUAUAAAUAAAACUAUUGUUUUCCGAUUCCAACAAUACCCUUGCCUUCAUGGUGUACUCCCAGGGAUUCCUCCACUUAGAGAAAGUGACUGGCAAUCCAGUGGAAUUACAUGCAGUGUCAAGGAUUAAUAUAUUUUGUAUUUUCAUGUAAAUUUUACCUGUAUAUCACCCUAAUUGACUAUAAAACACUUGUGCAAAUUAAAGAAAAAUAUAAUUAUAUUAUUUGAAAAUUAGAAAUUUAAAAAUAAGUUUAAUGCUUGCUUGGAGUUCUCCUUCUCCAAACGUUAAUGUUCGUAUGAGGAGAAAGAGCUCUGUUUGGUCCCCACGACGGCACUAUACUUCACAAGAUUCACUGUUUUAAAUAAAAGAGAGAGACAAAGACCCUCUGGAAGGUAUUGGAUUUUUUCUGUCCCCCACAUCAGAAUUCCCUUUCAGCCAGAACCUGCAUUGGGAAAUUGGGACUCGGUAAGUUUUUCAUUUUUACUUUCUGUUAAUAUGUAAUUAAAGACAAUUGAAAAAAAAAAAAAAAAAAUGAAGAGGUGAUAUUUUCGUCUAUAUUGUGUCGCCUUGGCAGCAUGGCCUAGCGGUAAGGCGGAGGACUACAAAUCCUUUUUCCCCAGUUAAAAUUCGAGUGUUGCCUGAUCAACAAAAGGCAUAAAAUAUAUAUAUCUAAGAAAGACUUACCUAUACUCAAUGUAUGAAUCAAUAAUUUAAUUUUCUUUGAAAAGAACAAUCUCAUGUGGAAAAGUUGACAGGUGGUAAAAUUUUCCAAUGGCAAAUGAUUUCCUCAACUUUCUUUAGUAGCACUCAAUGGAAAAAAAAAAAAAAAAAGUGUCUUUUCUUGUGUCAAACCACAUCAAUGAUUUCAAGGACAUUUAUAUAUAUAAAUGUUGCAAGUUCCACAUAACUAGUGGUGCUUCAUUACUUAUUUCUUUUUCAAUGUAAAUAUGCUUCAAAAGUUCUCUCAUAAUAUGCAAUUUUCUUUCUACUUUUUUUUUUUGGAGGAGAACUUCCAUGUAAAGAUGUUGAUAGUAUAUAAUUGAUAACAUGUAAUCUUGGAGGAGUAAACAAUCACAAUUCAUGUAAAAGUGAAAAUACAAAUUUAAUCCCAGACAGAGCAAUUUGCUAGAAGUUUAAAAAAAAUCUUAAAGAUAUCAAAUUUGAAACUUUAUAACCUUUCAAUUAUGGCAUGAUUGAGAAUUUGAUAUGGAGAGAUAUCACCACUUUGAAACAGUUGUGAUUGGUAGACCAGUAGCUGUGUAAUCUUGUGGAUAAUUGUAACACAUUUUGAUGUUGGCAAUUUUUGUUACUUUUAGAAACUAUGGGCAUUUUAGUCAACCCAAAAUACAAUACAGGCCUUGCCUACAUAGAGCAAAAACUACUAAAAUCUCCUCUCUCUCUCUGCUUCACAAGCUCACAUUCUAUUCAUCCAUAUUGAACAAAGACAAAAUCUCAUUGGAGUUUUAAGAUAUCUUAACCCACCUCCCACACACUCACUCUCUUUCUAUUUUAUAAGAUAUCAUCUCCAUGUCUGCAAACCAAAUCCAACCAUUAGAUACCCAGUUUCGAUUCCAAUUUGUUCUUUUUCUAUCUUGAGGGAAAUCCUCCACCAUAUAAAAUUUUUUCUCGUUCUUUUCUUUGGAUAUAUAUGCUCUGCUCUGUAUUUUGCUCUGUUUUUCAUGGCUGCCGCUCCUACUUCUGCUACUACUCAAAUCUUUCAAAGCCUUGACAAUAACAAUGACAACAAUAACCAUGAAGUUAGCAGACAAGAGAUACAAGCUGCCAUUGCUAAAGCGGUGGAGCUUAGAGCUCUUCAUGCUGCUCUGAUACACGGAAACAGCCCUGCCAAUCUCAAAUUCUCUUCUUCCUCCCCUGUUUCACGCCCUGUUUCUCACUACUCUGCUCAAGAUUACCCUGUUUUUACUCCUGUAAGUUUCAGCGUCUUUCUUUCAAUUGUUAAUUUUCCUUGUUCAUUCCUACAUUUUUUUUUGGGCUUUCUUGCAAUAUGGUUUCUUAGUCUUUACUCCAUCUUAUACUUUGCUUCUACUUGAAAAAAUAGGUUCUUUGAUGUAAUUAAUAAAGAAAAGGAAUUUAAUUUCACCUAUUGUUGUUGUUGUUGUGAUUAUGACAUGUGUGUUCAGCAAAUUAUUAUGUGCAUUAAUUGAUUUUCUAUUUAAUGAUUUGCUUAAUAAAUUCUGGCAAGUUGCAGUGACGGGAUAUUUUGGGUUAAUAAUCCAAAAGAAUUUACUCUUGCAUUUCAUUAUCAUCAUAACUCUCUUGUCGUUCAAUAUUACCUCCAAUUUCCAAUUUUAAAUCUUGAUUUUUUUAACCGGUUAUCACAAAUUCUUUUACUCCCUUUUUUCAAUUUUGUUUUGAUUAUAUGAUUCCUUUCAAAUUAAUUGAUGCAUCUUCUUGUCUAGUUGAACUGUUGAAGUUCUAACUUUAAAUAACUCCAAUGCUAUAAAUUUGUAAUUAUUUGUUUCCUCCACAGAGUUAUGAAGAUGAAACAUUGACUGGACAAGAACAAAUACUAGCAAAAUCAAGAACAUUAUCAGAAAGUUGGGAUGACUAUGAACUAGGAGGAGGAAAUGGCUAUGAAAAAGUUUUAUCGGACUACAAGAAGGAGAAUUCAUCAUCAUCGAGGAAAGGAAUUUCUUCUGGUUUCGAAUCCCAUAUUUGCCCUGCUGAAGAUCAAAAAUCUGUUACUGCUUCUUGUGCAAAUAAUAUUACCGUGCUUCAAACAUCGCCCGGAACAGAAUUCUAUAAGUCUGGUAGGAGAAAUAGCCUGGCAGAUUUCAAAUCUGUAUCUUCUUGCAAUAGAUGCAAGCCUGCUACUGUUACCUCUGAUUAUGAAAAUGUGACCACCAAGAACACCAAGCAUUCUAACAUUGUUGUUCCAUGGACAGAUUCUCACUCAUCCGUUCAACCACAACAACCAAAAAAUCGUGGAAUGAUUUCUUGGUUGUUUCCAAAGUUGAGGAAAAAGUACAAGAAUGAGAAUUCACCUAACAGAACAGAAUCUGAAGAAGUUUCGCAGAUUUUCAAGGACAUAGGGAUAUUAUCAAUUGAAACAUUGAAAAGAGAAUUGACAGAAGCAAAUGAGAAUAGAGAUGCAGCCUUAAUGGAAGUUGCUGAGAUGAAAUCUUCAUUAGGGGAACUGAGGCAGAAGCUCGAGUACUUGGAGAGUUAUUGUGAAGAGCUAAAGAAAGCUCUCAGGCAAGCAACACUAACAAAAGGCUCACCAGUAAUUGACAAGAUGAGUAAGAGAGGGAAAUCCAACGGAGAAAAUUUAAUGCCGGUAAGUGAAGAAGUAAUGGUGGAAGGGUUUUUGCAGAUAGUAUCAGAAGCAAGAUUGUCUGUUAAACAAUUCUGCAAAAUACUUGUGGGACAGAUUGAGGAAACAGACGGCACUCUUAUGGACAACCUGAAUUUGCUCCUUCAACCAUAUAAACUCUCUCUCAAUUCAAAGUACUCUAAAGCAGUAUUAUAUCAUCUGGAAGCUAUUAUAAACCAAUCUCUUUACCAAGAUUUUGAGAAUUCUGUAUUCCAAAAGAAUGGUUCACCAAAGCAUCUAGACCCUCAACAAGACCGCCAAGCGCAGUUUGCAUCAUUUGUUGCAUUGAGGAAUUUAAGCUGGAAUGAAGUUUUAAGAAAAGGGACUAAAUAUUACAGUGAAGAUUUUAGUAGAUUCUGUGAUCAGAAAAUGAGUUGCAUCAUUACAACUAUGAAUUGGACAAGGCCAUGGCCUGAACAGCUUCUUCAAGCAUUUUUUGUUGCUGCUAAAUGCAUAUGGUUGCUUCAUUUACUUGCUUUUUCAUUCAAUCCACCACUGGGAAUUUUAAGGAUUGAAGAGAAUAGGAACUUCGAUUCACAUUACAUGGAAGACAUGUUCAUGGAUAGGCAAAGGUCAACGGAUUCCAGCCGGGUUAAGAUAAUGGUGAUGCCAGGGUUUUAUGUUCAGGAUAGGGUUUUAAGGUGCAAGGUUCUUUGUAGGUAUAAGCCUGCAGCUUAGUGAAAUUUCUUGUAAGGAUAAAAUUUACUUUUAUAAUAAAAAUAUUGGAGAAAUUGGGUUUCUAGUGAGUUGUAAUGCUAACAAAAAAGGGUUGGUGUUGUAUUGAGGAUUAGGUGAAGAUUUUGGAAGAUUCAAAUGUUGAAUGAUGUAAUUGAAGUCACCAAGAUUGUUGUAGUAAUAUGAAGUGAUAAUAUUCUUCUGUUUCUAAUUGAUUAUAAAUCAUCAAUCAUUCUUUACCUUAAUGUCUUUUAGUACCUAAAAAUAUUGUCCUUUGUUAAUAUCUUUACAUACAUAUCUAUUAUCAAUUUUGAUGGGAUUUGGCAAAAUUUCCUUUAGUUCAACAUAUAGACAAAGCUUCUCCCUCUAUCUGGCUUCUUGUUUAGUAAUCUCUGUCAGCGUAAUGUGACCCAGUCAAUAUUCUCCUUUCACUCUGUCUUUCAUCACAAGAGUCCAGCCGCUUGUCUAUUUGUCAAUCUUUAAAAUUUUUGGGGCCACUAGCAGGCCGAACUACUUAUGGUAAUCAUGGGCAUGGGCUUUGCAAUUCAGAUAUGAUGAUUUCUGUUUACAAUUACCGGCCCAUGUUUGGAAAUGCUGACUUGUUGUGUUUCUUGAAAAGUAAGCCAUCGUGGCUGCUUUGUGACCUUGAGAUUCGAAAGAUGAUUCUUUUCUUUCUAGUUUCAAUUGUCUGAGUGUAAAUCCCGACUGCAUUUAAUUAAAUCCAUCCAACCAUCUUUCUUUCCUUUCAAGAAACUGACAACCUUGAAAGGAAAUUUCAAGUAAUUUCAUUUCGUACCGAGGAAUGAGGACAACGGCAUUAACAUUGUAUGAAAUUAAUUAGGCUCUGGUGCAAGAGGUUAUCGGCAUUCAUUUGAUUUUAAAAUUGUACCAUGAUAAAUAAGUAUGGUACUGUCUGUUGAAGCUUCAAAGUAAGAUACAAAUUUGGUUUCUCUUCCUCCACCACUCCAUUUUUCUCUCAGAAAACAAUGGCAGAAAAUUAUAAGGAUAGAAUAGUAAUGAUCCCAUUCAUGGCUCAAGGCCAUAUAAUUCCUUUCCUAGCUUUAGCUCUUCAACUUGAACAAAGGAAAAAUUACUGCAUAACUUUUGUUAAUACCCCUCUUAAUAUUAAGAAGCUAAAAUUAUCUCUUCCUCAUAAUUCUUCCAUUCACUUUCUUGAAUUUCCUUUCAACAGCUUAGAUUAUGGCCUUCCUCCCAAUAUUGAAAACACGGAUUCUCUUCCUUACAGUCUCAUCUUAACAUUUCUUGAAUCUUCUUUAGCUCUAAAACCUACUUUCAAGAAACUAAUUUCUGCACUUGUUCAAGAGCCGUAUGGCAAGCCUCCAUUGUGCAUCAUGACAGACAUGUUCUUUUCGUGGUGUGCAGAGAUUGCACACGAGUUUGGAAUUUUCCAUUCAAUAUUUUGUGCAGGUGGUGGUUAUGGCUUUGCUUGUUUCUACUCUUUAUGGCUAAACCUACCUCACAACAACACAGACUCUGAAGAAUUCAUUUUGCCAGAUUUUCCAGAAGCUUCUAAAAUUCAUGUAACUCAAAUGACAGAUUUUCUCAGAGCAGCUACUGGAAAAGAUUCAUGUUCGAUAUUCCAGAAGAACAUGCUUCUUGGAUGGUUAAAUGCUGAUGGGAUUUUAUUCAACACGGCAGAGGAGUUGGACAAGCUUGGAUUAAUGUAUUUUAGAAGAAAAAUUGGAAAGCCAGUUUGGUCCAUUGGUCCAGUUCUAUUAUCUUCAGCAAACAGAGCUAAAGCGGCAAAUACAGCUGAGGUAUGCAAAAAAUGGCUCGACAGGAAACCUUUGAAUUCUGUCUUAUACAUAUGUUUUGGUUCACAAAACACAAUAACAGCAUCAAAUAUCAUGCAAUUAGCAAAGGCAUUGGAGGCUAGUGGCAAAAAUUUUAUUUGGGUUGUUAGACCACCAUUAGGGUUUGACUUAAACUCAGAAUUUCAAGAAAAGGAAUGGUUCCCAGAAGGAUUUGAAGAAAGAAUAAGGAGUUCAGGCAAAGGAUUACUGGUGCAAAAAUGGGCACCCCAAAUGGAAAUUCUGUCUCAUAAGUCAGUAUCUGCAUUUUUGAGCCAAUGCGGGUGGAAUUCAGUGCUUGAAGCUCUUAGCUGCGGUGUUCCUAUAAUUGGGUGGCCAUUGGCAGCAGAACAGUUCUACAAUGUUAAGCUUUUAGAAGAGGAGAUCGGAGUUUGCGUGGAAGUGGGUAGAGGAAAAACAUGUGAAGUUGGGCAUCAAGUUAUAGAAACAAAGAUUGAGUUGGUGAUGAAUGAGGAACAGAAAGGAAGAGAAUUGAGAAGGAAAGCUUGUGAGAUAAGAGACGUUAUCAAAGAGGCUAUUAAAUGGGAUGAAGGAUUUUUUAGAGUUACUUCUGUAAAAGCCAUGGAUGAGUUCUUGGAUUCUGCAUUGCUUAUGAGAAGGAAGAUUAAGAUGUGCCCAAAUGGUGAGGUUCAAAGUCAAAAUCUUGAAAAGAACAGAACCAAGGUUCUGAAUCCGAACUCCAAAGAAAUGGUAGUAGAAAGCAGUAACAACGAGAAAGCUAGGGAGACCAACAAUAUUGGUUGGAAUGAUAAUCCUCCUUAAUUCCUGUAAGGAUAAGCUACGAUCUUAUUUCCAUUUUAUUGUUGGUUCAGAAAAAUAGAAAGUGAUCGUUUCAGACUUUAAAUUGAUCAGAAAAACUUAUUUGCAAUCUUUAUCUAACCAAUUUCGUUUUUAUUGCUAAUGCAAUAAUGUGAAUAUUGAAUAGAAAAGAAUAUCAUUCUUUAAAAAAAAAAAAAAAAAAAAAAAAGAUAUCAUUGUAUUUUUUUUUUCUACAUGCAAGAAGAAUAUCAUUAUAUUAUUAUUAUUAGUAUAAAAACAAGAAUUCAUGGAGCUCGACAUUGUUGUUAAUGAUAAUUAGUUUUUUAGAGUUGCAAGUAAAUUAAUUUAAUUUAAUUUAUAAAUAAUUUUUAUUAUAAAAUUAUUUAAAUUAUUUAGUGUCAAUAAUAUUAAUAAAAAUUUUUAAAAAUAUUAUAUUUUCAUCAUAUCUAAUAUAAACCUUAUUUAGUAUCCAUCAAUAAUUUUUAUUAUAAAAUUAUUUAAAAAUAUUAUAUUACUAUAUUUUUAAUUAAAUGCAAAGGAGGGAUUAAAACCCAGAUGAACACUUAGUCUCCACGAUACCGGACUGCCCCAACACUUUCUGCCUCUAGAAGCUCACGAGUCAUGGGCCAGGGAUCAGACAACACACCAUAACCCCUGGGACCUAACAGCGCCUCUUUGGCAAUGGAGUCCGCUGCAUAAUUUGCUUCGCAUGGGUCACUUGCCAAUUACUAUAUUAUAUUAUAUUACCAUAUAAUACUUAUAUGUUACUAUAUAAUAUUAUUAUCAUAUUAUAUUACCAUAUAUAUAUAUAUAUAUAUAUAUAUAUGUAUGCAUAUUAUCAUAUUUAAUAUAUCCAUUAUGUAUAUUAUUUAAUAUUAUUUAUAUAAUUUGAUAUCGAGACUUUGAUUCAAGUUAUAAAAAAAAUUAAAUUGAAUAAUAGUAUCAUAUGUUUUAUUUUAUCCAAAACUUUGAUGUAAAUAGAAAAUUAAUAUUUUCAAUCAGAAUUAAUUUAUAUUUUUCACCCAAUCAAAUUAAAAUACUUAAUGACAGAUUUUCGUCUAUCCAUAAAUUUAAUAGAAUUCUCUUUAGAUUAUAAAUAAUAAUAUUGGGUGAAUAAUAAGAAAAUCGGUACAUUCUGCGUGUUAAUCGUGUCAAUCACUGAAACUAUAAAAGCAAAUUUUAAAGAGAAAAAAUAUAAGUAAUUUUUUAUUAAAGAAGACUAGAGAGAGAAUCUUUUUGACUGUUGAAAAAUGGAAGAGAGAGCUCGUUGGUUGGAAGUUGGACGAUGAACCAUGGUGGAAAGUGGAAACAACCUCCUAGGAAGGGGCAUUUAUUUUGCCAACGUAGAAACUAAAGACAAAAGAUUGUCCUGUGCGAAAACAUUAAUUAUUUGCUGCUUCCUGCUUGUCCUGGACACAGUCAAAGCUGAAGUAAACAAAUCUCUCUCUUUUCCUCUUCUCCUUCCUCCUCCUGCUAGAGUUUGAAAUGGCACCAAGAAAAGAAAGCAUAGUGUUAUUCCCAUUCAUGGCACAAGGCCAUAUCAUCCCUUUUCUUGCAUUAGCCCUUCACAUUCAAAAAACAAAAGUUUAUAAUAUAAUCCUUGUUAAUACUCCUUUUAACAUCAGAAAACUCAGAUCAUCUCUACCUCCGAGUUCCUCUAUUCGUCUUCUUGAAUUACCCUUUGACAGCUCUGAUCAUGGCCUCCCUCCAAAUACUGAAAAUACUGAUGUUCUUUCUUACCCACAUAUUAUCCGUCUCCUUCAUGCCUCUACUUGUUUAGAGACUGGCUUUAGAAAUCUCAUUAAGGAUAUUACUAAUAAGCAAGAAGAAGAACCUCCUCUUUGUGUUAUUGCUGAUAUAUUCUUUGGAUGGACAGCUACUGUUUGUAAAGAACUUGGGGUUUUUCAUGCCGUCUUUAGCGGUGCAGGUGGGUUUGGCUUGGCCUGUUACUACUCUGUUUGGUUAAGUCUUCCUCAUAGGAAUACCAAAUCAGAUGAGUUUGAGCUUCAAGAUUUCAAAGAAGCAUCAAAGAUUCAUUUGACUCAAUUGCCAUUAUCAAUUUCAGAGGCAGACGGGACUGAUUCUUGGUCUCUUUUUCAGAAAAAGAAUUUACCAGCAUGGGUUGAUUCUAAUGGGAUUUUGUUCAACACAGUAGAAGAGUUUGAUCGGGUUGGUUUAUCAUACUUUAAAAGGAAACUAAACCGGCCGGCUUGGGCAAUAGGACCGAUAUUGCUACCAACGGAAAACAGAACUCAUGCAGGUAAAGAAGCUGAUAUUUCACCAGAUCUUUGCAAGAAAUGGUUAGAUAAUAAGCCUAUCAAUUCAGUUUUGUACGUGUCAUUUGGCUCGCAUAAUACAAUAUCUGCAUCGCAGAUGAUGCAAUUGGCUUUAGCUUUGGAAGCAAGUAGCAAGAAUUUUAUAUGGGUUGUGAGGCCACCGAUAGGGUUUGAUAUAAACUCAGAAUUUAGAGGCAAAGAAUGGUUACCUCUUGGGUUUGAAGAAAGAGUAAAAGAAUCAGGAAAAGGGUUGUUAGUUCAUAAAUGGGCAGCCCAAGUGGAAAUUCUAUCUCACAGGUCUGUAUGUGCAUUUUUGAGCCAUUGUGGAUGGAAUUCUGUGCUUGAAGCACUAAACUGUGGGGUUCCAUUGAUCGGGUGGGCAAUGGCCGGAGAACAAUUUUUUAAUGUCAAGUUCUUGGAAGAAGAGUUAGGGGUUUGUGUGGAAGUGGCAAGAGGGAAGACAUGUGAAGUUAGGUAUGAAGACAUAAAGGGAAAAAUUGAGUUGGUAAUGAACGAGACAGAGAAAGGAAAAGAAAUGAGAAAAAAAGCAUUUGAGGUCAAAGAAAUGAUAAAUGAUGCCAUGAAUGAUAAGGAUGGUUUGAAAGGUUCUUCUGUAAAAGCUUUGGAUGAUUUUUUCCAAGCUGCAAUGUCAAUGAGAGAGAAGACAGGGAAAGAAAAACGAUGAUGAGACACAGAUUGGAGGUCUUUGCUGGUCAAUAUUUGAAGCUUUUUUUUUUUUUUUUUUUUUUGAAAAAAAAAAAUUUUUUUUUUGACAAUAAAAAAUUGUAAUGAGAUCAUGGUUGGACAAGAAAUGGGGAUGUACUGUUUAAUUAGCUUAAAUAAUAAUAAGAUUUCUAUCGAUGUAAUUUCAUGUAAUUUUUGUUUUACACUAGUAUAUGCAAAUGCAACACCUGUCCUGACCUAACGCCACAAAAGUUAGAAAUGGUGGUGGUUAUGAAAAGAAAAGGGAGUGUUGAAAUGAAAAUUGGAAACUAGUGAGCUCAACUUUUUAUAUUUUUGUUUCCAGGUGGCUGUGGUUUUAUUUGUGUGAUUUUUGCUUAGUUGGUUUCCAUUAGCAUGCUAAUGGAAAAGACAGAACACAAUUAACGGAAUUGGUGACCCCAUUUUUGAAUAAGGACGAAUCAUUGUUUGAUCUCUAUAGUAUAAUAUAAUGUGAUGAAUUUGUAAGUUUAUCUUAUACUAAUGUGAACCGAAUAUUAUUUUUAAUAAAUUACAAUUGGUGGUGUGUACCAUAAAUGUGCAUAGUAAUAGUAUCUUAAAAAGGCUAAACUCUCCUCGUGCAAACUAAAUUCUCUUUAUUGCCCCUAAGUGUGUCUAUCUACAACACGACGUACACAGAAGAUGGUCAAGUAUCAUGAAUACCAAGAAAAUAAACAAACUCCAUCAUCAUCUUUUACUAGGAGAAAUCAAUACAGUUUCAUAGUUCAUACUCCAAAGGUUAACAUUUCCACUGUUCUAAAAUAUUGCAUAAAAUGUUACCAACCAGUACCAAAUUCCUAUCAAUUUUAUAAAAAGAAAAAAAAAAAAAAGAAAAGAAAAGAAAAAAAAAAAAGAGCAAACUUCCUCUGAGUAAAACAUUUUUUUUUUUUUUUUUUUUUUUUUUGAGUACAACAUCAUUGACGCCUUGCCAUAAGAUCUAUAUGCGCAUAUUAUCAUUGUACCAAUCAUCUACUUUUGACUCUCUGUAUAAACACGUGGCAGUUAAUAUAUCUUUUUAUUUUCCAAUGCAACCAUCUGAUGUUUUAGCAGUAUGACAGUCAUAUAAAAAGAAUAACUUCAAGACACAUCAGAGCUUCCAGACUCGCUCCACCAAAAGCUAACCGAGAGACUUGUUGUUAAAGAUCGGACAUAGUGCCACCACUUUGGUGGGAUGUAAAGCAUUUCACCUUCCUCUAAUAUGCAGUCCAGGAAUUCCAAGUCAUGAACCUUUGGAAAUUCUUUCUCAUCCAUGUUAUCCAGAUCAACCUUCAAAAAGAAUUCGUGAAUAUUGAAAAACAGCCUAUACCAGAAAAAACUAACUUAUCUAUGUAAUGGAUAUCAAUACUAAGAAAGGAAGAGACAGAGAGAAGCAAAAGAGAUUACAUGCAUCAUAAACUCGUAGAAAUUUAAUGCACUAUCCAGCUACAGCAUGAAUUUCAAAAUUAUGGAAAAAUAAAAGGUAGGUUCUCCAGAUAGUUCCAGAGAACUGGGGGGGAAUUCAACAAGUUACCUGGCUGGAAUUAUGAAGCAUGGUUUCACUGUAUGGGUAAAGUUCUUCUGACAAUGAAGCAGGGUAUAGCCGAAUAUAUUUUUUCCCAACAACCUAAAAAUACAGUGCAGCAAUUCUGUCUGAGUGAGCAAUUACAUACAUACAAACAAAAACAUGUUAUAGUAGUAAAAUUGAAAAGAAGCACGCCAUAGCAAGAUGAUCAAAGCCCACAAAUGUUUUAUAGAGAUAGAUUAGUAAUUCAUAAAAGUACUCUUCAAGUUGAAAGGAAAAACAUUGAAUAGGAUGGGCGGGUAGGGGAGAAGUUAAAAAGCAUUGUCAUCAUCUUCAUCAAAAUAGCAGCAUGGUUGUUAAAGGUCUGCCCCGAGUGCCCCUUGCAUAAGGCUGUAAAUGAGCUGAGCUCUGGUGAGGGUGAGCUCGAGCUCAGCUCAUUAAGUAUAUACUUGAUGUCGAGCUUGUUUUGAGCUUAGAAAUCUAAGUUUGAGCUUGGCUCGUUUAAACAUAGUCAAGCUCGAGAUCGGCUCAAUCACCAUAAACUAGCUGAGCUUGAGCUCGAGCUUCGAAUCUAUCAAAUCAAAAUGAUAUUGUCUUAAUUUAAAUUUAAUUAAUUUUAGCUAAUUGAGUAUGAGCUUAAUUCAACUCAAUAAAGCUGCUCGCGAGCUUGGCUCGAUAAAGCUCGCUUGCAAGCUAAUGAGCUAAGCUCGAGAAGCUUAUCAAAUGAGCUUUAUCGAGCCGAGUCUCAAGCAGCUCAAGGGUGACUCUUCUCAUUUGGAGCUCUAGCCCUUUCACCUCAAACCUUGAGAGGCGAAUGAUGUCAUUGAGGGUCGUGACUUUUGCAAAGGUGCACACCUCAGUCUAGGAGAAAAAGGAAUAUCUACUUCUGCAAAUCAUGUCUCCUUUUGCCCUAAAUUUAGAAUUCAACCUUACCUCACUCAACCAUUUGAUUAGGGCAAAUCAUGUCCUAGAUUUUAGAAAUAAUUGCUAUAUAUGCAUAGGAUUCAAUAUUUUCUUGAUUACUAAAUUGAUUGGAGCAAAUCAUGCCCCAAAUCUUCGGAUGAUAUUACCAUGCAAGUAGAACAUACAAUCAAUUGAUUGGGGUGAAUCAUGUUACCAGUCCUCUCAGAAAUCUUGAGACAAUUAACAUAUAUGGUACGAUCUACAAAUAAGAUUAUGGGUUAAAGUACUUUUAUGUUCUUUUAGAUUUAUUGAUGCUAGAAUUUAAUUGUUUUAUGCACCUCAUGUCACCCAGGUAGGCGCUUGCCUACGCUUGCACUUUGUGCCCAGGCUCCAGGAGCCCUUUAUGCCUUGCGCCUUUAAUAACUACAGCAGAUCUACUUUCUCUAUCAUGGAUUCAACUUAUAGAUAGGUAGAGGCAUUGCUUAUAACUGCAUUUAAGAACAGGGUUGUCAUUGUAGCAACUUAAUUCAACAUUCAUUAAAAACAGGGGAAAGCUUAGUAACAUGCUUUUAACUGCAACAAAAACUAGGAUGAUGCUUGUUUGAUAGUACUAGUCUAUUACCCAUUAAAACAAUACUACUUAAGUAAUACAAAUAAAGUCAUAAAGCUGAAAUUCACCAAUAUGGAACUGCUAUACACAUUCCAUUACUCCAAUGAUCCAAACAAAAGUUACAAAUUUCUAGAACAAAGUAUAAAAUAAGAACUCAAACACACAUACACCGAUUUGUUACAUGCUAGUCCCAUUAAAAUCCAUCACACGCACUGGCUGGAAUUUAAACAGUUAAAAACAUAGCUCAUGCCUUAGCUAACACAAGGAAUAUAAGGUGCCUAGCAACAUAGCUAAACUUCUUUUCUUGGCAAAUGGUUGAGUGUGAACAAUGCGUCAAAGUUGGUUAGGGGCAGAAAAGAAUAAAUUCCAUGAGCAAAAAUAACACUAAAGGCAAGAAACAAAAUCUAGAAAAAGAUCCAUGGUCAAAGAAGCAUGCUGGAAUGCAGUUUCAUCAUGCAAACUUUAAUACCUGGGCAAGUAUAUUAUGGUGUGGAUCAUGGUGCAACGGUGUAACUGUCCCAGCUGGACCAAACCAAGCAUUAAGUGAUCUAAGCUCCCCACCUCCAGCAAAACAGUAGUCAGGAACGCA
This 50227-nucleotide long non-coding RNA is filed under the name Jatropha curcas. RNAcentral's name for it is "long non-coding RNA (JCUR_LNC003437)". The stretch from base 37598 to 37668 matches the Rfam family "tRNA". The record is from RNAcentral. Lineage: Eukaryota; Viridiplantae; Streptophyta; Magnoliopsida; Malpighiales; Euphorbiaceae.